RNAcentral lists this long non-coding RNA (61089 nucleotides) under Ananas comosus (pineapple). RNAcentral describes it as "long non-coding RNA (ACOM_LNC023283)". The record is from RNAcentral. Lineage: Eukaryota; Viridiplantae; Streptophyta; Magnoliopsida; Poales; Bromeliaceae.
GUUGCAUAUAUUCCUGUUGCAUAUAGCAUGGCAUCAUUGCAGUUGUGAGGCAAAGCAAGGUAAAGUUAGUUGCAUGUUUAUGAUAUAUAUAUCUAUCUGUUUAUUGGACUAACUUGUAUUUGCCUCCCUUGGACCUGUUGGUCGAGCUCCUCCCUUGGGUGGCCGUACCCACUGGGAACCAUGGAGUUGGUUCUCACCCCACGUUGUUUUGGGGUUUUACAGGUUCGCACGUGAGCGGCGCGGCGGCGCGAGGCAAGGGCGUAGCUCCAUAGAUAGCGCCCUACCCCCAGAGACCAGAGCUAGCAGUACCCCGUCGGCGUAGCUUAGGGGUAUAGAAAAUGAAAGGAAUAAAAUGUAUUAAACUUGUAAUAGCUUAGAUUGUAUUUGGAAGUUAAAUGUAGUAUAAAGUGUGAUAUAAGUAAAUGAAUCUAAUGUGAAUGUUGUAAUAACAUAGGAUAUGUUAUGUUGUUUGAUACUUCCUUACGCAAUCAUGAUUGAUAUCUGUUCCUGGUUGGGACCAUUGUAAUGUACAUUGUUUGGAUUGCGACGCCUAGAACGUACAGGGGAGACUCUGUCCGCGUACAGGGGAAACCCCGGUCCGUUCGGCGGUCUGUCGGCGUGCCCGAACCGGACCAAAUUGGGAGCGGUCUCGGGGCGUGACACUCAUCACCUGUACAUUUUCAAUCAUGAAGUGCACUAGCGAAAAUAUAUUCAAACGGCUUACACGAGUGUAAGCAAUAGCCAUUAGUGAGAGAAAGGAAACUAACAUUCAAUUUGUACUAUGAUUCAAUUUAGAUCAUAUACAUUGCUUACAUAGUUCUUUACAUACUUUUCAUCAUUUCUUUUUACAUCACAUUGCCUCAAAAUAAAACUUUACAUUCUUUUUCUUUACUUUAAACAUCUUCGAGUACAAAAGAUGAAGUAAGGGAACGCUACUACAAAAUGUAAACCCAACUCUGGUGGCCUCUGACUAAGGUGCGAUAACUUUACCGCGGUCGCUCGCCAGCUCACUCGGUCCCGGCUUUGUGGAAUAGUGGGGUGAGAACUACAACAAAGUUCCCAGUGGGUUCGGCCCCAAUCUCACCGACUUUUCCACUAGGACUAACUCAGGCAUAAUAGAAAGGAUAAGCAGAAAUAUAGUAACCAAUCUGUAACUUGAUGCUAAUAUGCCUGAACAAUAAAGUAAGGAGUAUGCUCAACAUAAAACUCAUGUAGAUUAUGCAAGUUCUUUUGUUCUUUCUCUUUACUCUUUAAGCUUUGUUCUUUGUUCUUGUUCUUUAAUCUCAUGGCUAACCCGGGGGUUUCGCCACAUUAACUUGCCCACAUUAAGUACAUCAACACGGGCCCUCAGCUGCCUCUCGCUAAGACCGUCUUCGGGUUUACUCCAACCCGUGAUGCAAAAACUCCGGAGCGCAUCGCCCGAGGGGGAGCGACCGCCCUCGAGCAUGGAACUCAUAGCAAGUAUGAUUGAAUCCUUAACUCUAUGGAUUUUAAAUUUAAUCAUGUCAUUACACUAACUCUAGUGUUCUUUUCAUCACUUUAUGUUGCUAACUCUAGCAAUCAUUGUUCUUUGCUCUUUACUUGUUCUUUAUGCCAAACUUUGCAUUAACUUUAACCAUUAUCAUUGUUCUUUACAUUACUUUACAUUAACUUUAAUCAUUAUCAUCACUCUUUACAUCACAUUGAUCCUUUGCCUCACACUAACUCUAGUGUCACUUUACUUUACAUUAUCGAAUGCCACUCGAUCUAUGUCUCAUUGUGUCACUCUAUUCUUUUGCCUCACUUUGAUGCUCACAUUAUAUCUCAUGCAUACAUGUAGGGUUAAACAUUCAUAGGAGUUCUCGACCAUCUCAUUAGGCAAAUUGUACUCACAAUAUGCAAUAUCACAUCAUUCUCAUUACAUAUACCCUAUGAUGCAUGCAACAAUGUAUACAACAUAUGCUCAAUUGAAUGACCCAUUAGGCAUAGAAGGAAGUUCAAUGAGUUUGGAUAGCACCACCUACCUCGUAGGUUCUCAAAGGUGCUCUGACGAUUUUCUUGGAAUUUUUAGACUCCUCGUUCUUCACCUGCGACAAAACGAAGCCAACUUAGGCCAUUUUGCCCAUAACUUUUUAUAGACUUUUCGUAACGUUAAUCCGAGCGCACCAACGCGUCGGAAAUACUCCGAAUUAGGUUUCUAGAGGGUCAAUUUCACUUUGAAACCCUCGCAAGCAAAAGCCCCAAUUUGUGUGCCCUAGCUCAUAACAUAUAUCAAACCUAGGGUUUGAUCUCAUUGGGAAGCAAAAGAAGCUUCAAUCUACUCUAGGAAGUCCAUUAAAACCAUUCUUUGUUUAACCCAAACCCUAGUUUGGAUCCUACCAUGAGAGGGGUAAAAGCUCACUUUCAAGCUCCACCUCUACACUCAAUCCAUGGUUUCAAUCUCAAAAGAAGCAAAAGAAAGCUUCAAAGGCUCAAAAGGUUUUAUCAAAACCCAAUUCUAAGCUUAUCCAAACCCUAGUUUGGGAUUUACCAUGAAAAUGGCAAAGCUUACCUCUAAGCUUGCUCCUUUCUUGCACUAGAGGGGAAGAAGAAGAAGUCACCCCACUCCAAUGGCUUCUUCUCCACCUUCCUUGCCUUUCUUUUUCCUUUCCUUCUCCUUCUUCUUCUCUUUCUUUCCUUUCCUUUCUUCUCUUCUUUAUCUUCUAGAGAGAGAAAGAGAGAUGAGAGAGUGUGAGAGGGAGUGAAAUGAGAGAAGUAUCUCAUUUUCCCCCAUACUAUACCCUAUGGGUUGCAAAAUUGUAGUUAAACCCCUCAACUUUCAUCUUGUUACACUGCCCGAACUGGGCAUUUUUCGUGCUCGGGGACGGGUCUCCCCGACUUGGGACCGGUCCCAGAGAGCUCUCCCCGCGGGCAGCCAAGGCUACGCGUGACGCAACCGGUUUCUCCCCCAGAGGGACCGGUCUCUCGGAGACCGGUCUCUCCCUGCAGGGACCGGUUCCGAAGAGCUGGUUUUCUGGAACUUAGCCGAUUUUUCGGCUUUCUCACGUUGCACAUGUUCGGGGACCGGUCUCUCCCACCAGGGACCGGUCCCCGAGAGCUCAAAAACUGCAGUUUGCAGAUUUUUGAUUCUUUAGCUCUCGAAAACCUCCCACAACGAACUUUUGACCAUUUUAACACCUUCGGACUUUCCGAAGUGUACCAUCCUCACACUUUGGUCAAUUUGACUAAUGUUUGAUAUUUAUUUUUUGAAUUUUCGGUAUAUUACAUUCUCCACCCCUUAAAAUAAUUUCGUCCGCGAAAUUACGCAUACCUUAACUCGUCGAUUCAAAUAAAUAGGGAUACUCUCUCCGCAUGGCCUCCUCAAGCUCCCAAGUGGCUUCUCGCACAGCAUGGUUGCUCCAUUGGACCUUCACAUAAGGAAUUCUGCGACUCCGUAGCUUUCUUUCUUCUCUAUCGAGGAUGCACACCGGGUACUCCUCAUAAGACAUAUCUUCACAUAGCUCUACGGGCUCAUACUCCAAUACAUGUGUCGAAUUGCGAAUGUACUUUCGGAGAUUUGACACAUGAAACACGUUGUGAACUCCUGUGAGUCUUGGUGGUAGUGCGAGCUUAUACGCUACCGCACCCACACGCUCUAGUAUCUCAAAUGGCCGAACAUAACGGAGACUUAACUUCCCACGGACCCCAAAACGUUUAACUCCUCGCAUCGGUGAUACUCUCAAAAAUACGCGGUCUCCAACCACGAACUCUAAAUCCUUUCUUCGCUUGUCGGCAUAACUCUUUUGCCGAGAUUGCGCUGUCGCUAACCGUUGACGCGCAAGACGAACCUUUUCUUCCGCCUCCCGUACCACAUCUGGGCCAAGAGCCGUUCUCUCGCCCACGUCGCUCCAAUGGAUAGGAGAACGAUACUUUCGACCAUAUAGUGCCUCAAAUGGCGCCAUUGCUAUGCUCUCUUGAUAACUAUUAUUAUAGGCGAACUCCGCCAUUAGCAAGAAAUCAUGCCAUCCUCCUUUGUAAUCUAGUACACACGCUCGAAGCAAGUCGUCGAGGAUCUGUAUUGUCCGCUCUGACUGUCCAUCACUCUGAGGAUGAAAUGCUGUGCUAAAGUCGAGCCGUGUGCCCAACGCAUCUUGCAAGCUCUUCCAAAAGUGGGAUGUGAACCUGGGAUCUCGAUCCGAUACAAUUGAUACCGAAACCCCAUGAAGUCUCACAAUCUCGUCGAGAUAAACUUGAGCUAACUUGUCUCCCGACCACGUAGUAUGUAUCGGCAAGAAGUGUGCCGAUUUUGUCAAUCGAUCCACUAUCACUCAUAUCGCAUCGUGUCCGCCUUAUGACCGAGGCAAACCGGUAAUAAAGUCCAUCGCUAUAUCUUCCUAUUUCCACACUGGUAUAGAUAGACUUUGUAGCUUUCUCGCCAGAAACCGACGCUCUGCUUUUACCUGGUGGCACGUUAGACAUUGCGCCACGAACUCUCCAAUAUCUCUCUUCAUACCCGGCCACCAAUAGUGCUCUUUCAAAUCCUUGUACAUUUUAGUGCCGUCGGGGUGUAUGCUAUGAGGAGAUUGGUCCGCUUCUUGCAUAAUCGCCCUUCGAACAUCAUCAUCUUUAAGCACACACCAUCAAUUUCGAAAUCGAAGUGCGCCGUUAGCUCCAAUGCCAAAAUCUUCGGCACUACCAUUCUCAACUUCACUCAGCACCUUUUGAAGAUAAGGAUCCGAGGCUUAGAGAUCCUUGAUUCUUUCCAAUAGGGUCGGUUGCACAACUAAUGCAGCAAGUGUAGCCGGCACUCCCGGCUCUACAACUUCCAACCCAAGCCUUUGCAUCUCCUUUUGCAGUAGCGGUUGAGGCGUAAUUGCCAUCGCUAAGUUCUCCGCCGAUUUUUUACUUAGAGCAUCGGCCACGACAUUGGCUUUCCCGGGGUGGUAUAGUAUAGUGACAUCGUAGUCCUUCAACAACUCCAACCACCGCUGCUGCCGCAUGUUCAAUUCCUUCUGGGUGAACAAGUACUUUAGACUUUUAUGAUCUGUGUAGACCUCGCAAUGCUCACCAUACAAGUAGUGCCUCCAAAGCUUUAGAGCGAAAAUUAUCGCGGCUAACUCGAGGUCGUGAAUCGGGUAGUUCUUCUCAUAACUCUUUAGUUGGUGCGAUGAAUAUGCAAUGACUCGCCCAUUUUGCAUUAGUACACACCCGAGACCAACAUAAGAGGCAUCACUGUAGACUACAAAAGUCUCCCCCGAAGUCAGCAAGGCAAGCACCGAGGUCGACGUCAAUCUGUUCUUUAACUCCUCAAAGCUCCGAUCACAAUUGUCGCUCCAAACACACUUUACUCCUUUAUGCGUGAGGCACGUUAGUGGAGUGGUUAUUUUGGCGAACCCCUCUACGAACCGUCGGUAGUAGCUCGCAAGUCCAAGAAAACUGCGGACCUCCGCCACAUUCGUCGGGCGAGGCCAAUCCUUUAUUGCCUCUACAUUCUUCGUGUCUACCGACACUCCGUCGCCCGAUACCACAUGACCCAAAAAUGUGACCUCCUUUAGCCAAAAGUCACACUUCUUUAACUUCGCAUAGAGCUUCUCCUGCCUGAGUAUCUGCAAUACAGCUCUCAGAUGCUCUUCGUGCUCCUCUUCACUUUUUGAGUAAACCAAUACGUCGUCCAUAAACACCACGACACAUCGAUCCAAUAACGGCCUGAAGACUCGAUUCAUCAAGUUCAUAAAUGCUGCCGGGGUGUUAGUAAGCCCAAAUGGCAUUACCGUGAACUCAUAAUGGCCAUACCGCGUACGGUACCCCGUUUUGUUCACAUCUUUCGGUCUAAUCUUUAGUUGAUGAUACCCCGAUUGGAGAUCAAUCUUCGAAUACACCUUGGAACCUUGCAACUGAUCGAAUAAAUUGUCAAUCCUUGGCAACGGGUACUUGUUCUUUAUCGUUACUUUGUUCAACUCGCGAUAGUCAACGCAGAGUCGAAGUGUGCCAUCCUUUUUCUUCACAAAUAGCACCGGAGCUCCCCACGGUGACACGCUCGGCCUCACGAAGCCUUUAUCGAGCAAGUCUUGUAGUUGGCCUUUUAGCUCUUUUAACUCCACCGGUGCCAUUCUAUACGGAGCCUUCGAAACUGGUUCCGCCCCGGAAAUCAAGUCAAUGACGAACUCAACUUUCCGGUCCGGUGGCAGUCCCGGUAACUCCGUCGGAAAUACAUCCGGGUACUCGCAGGCUACUCGAAUAUCCCACAACUUUGGGUACUCCUUUCGAGCAUCCACUAUGAUUUCCAAAUAGGCCUUACACCCUCCUUUGAUCAUCCUCUUUGCCCUUACAGACGAUAUGGUCGCCGCGAAGCGCCUACUUUUGCACGCUUGGUAGACCAACUCUUCUUGAUUAGGCUCACGAAAAGUGAUCACCUUGCUUUCACAAUCUAUAACCGCAUAAUAUUUGGAGAGCCAGUAGGUCCCCAAGAUAACAUUGAAUCCCCACAUCUGAUCUAGCACUAGUAGAUCAAUCGACAUAAUCCAAUCGCCUAUUUGCACUGGACACGCCAAACAUUCAUUGUGGACACUGAAUGAAUGUUCUGGGGCGUUCACCCACCAGUAAUCCUUAUUGUAUACCAUCUCUAUACCAUGAGUUUUAGCAAAUGACGUGCUAAUGAAUGAAUGAGAUGCGCCUGUAUCAAACACUGCUAUAGCUCUAGUGUCUUUAAUCACAAUUAUACUUGCCACGACGUCGUCGGAUGUUGCAGGUUGCUGCUCCUCCACCUGAGCGGCAAAGACUCGGCCGCUAGGCGCUCUCGAUCCCUUCGGCUAACGCGGUGAUGACGCGCGCCCAGCCGACAUCGCUGGUGGUAACCCCACAAGCUGUCUCGGGGUAGACGGUGCUGAUGCCGCCGUCAGCGCAGAUGACGUCCAGCUCGGGCACUCCCGGAUAAGAUGUCUCGGUUGGCCACACUUGUAACACUUGCUAUCGCGCUGCGGGCAAGUCGACACUCGGUGCUCUCCGCCACAAAUGACGCACCGAGGUGGUCUCCAAUUCCUCGACUGCUGUCGGGGAUACCGAGGGGGUUUCUUAGCAUUUGGCCAGCCCCCGGCACCGCCCGCCGUUCGCUUCUUGCCUUUAUCCUUUGACUCGGCCAUAGCCUCCCUUUCUUCACGUACAUGGGCGCUACCGUGCUCUGCCCACAAAGCUCUAUCGAAGACCUCGGCAAAGGUCGUCAGCUUCAGAAUCUGCACCUUUUCAUAUAUCCUAGGCUGGAGUCCUCGCAAGAACCAAUCAGCCUUGUCCCGAUCAUCUCUAACAACGUCAGGAACGCAGUCGAUAAUGUGGGAGAACUCUUGCUCAUAUUCUCCCACCGAUCAGUCGCCCUGUCGCAACUUGCGAAACUUCUCUUGCAACCUCCGCUUCACCAUGUCGGGGAAGUAGUUCGCAAAGACUGCUCUCUUGAACUCCUCCCAAAGCAUAAGCGGAAGAUCGGUAGGUCGAUCUCGCUUAACUCGCUUCCACCACACCAUCGCCACUUUCUCUAGACAAUGGGUGGCGAGGUACACUUUGUCCUUCUUCGAGGUAUUGAGAUCCACGAAGAGCGUCUCCAUUAAGUCGAUCCACGACUCCACAACCGUCGGCUCCACCAAACCGCCCUCGAAGGUAGGUAGGUUGAACUUCUUGAACUGAAUGAGAGCCGCCAACGUGCGCUCUCGCUCCGCCUCUACCAUCGCGUUAUCGGGAUUUGAGGUUCCCGACCUGGCCGGUACUAUCGUAACUGGCACAGUCGCUGCUGCCGCCGCUCCCUCGUCUACACUCGGCACUACCGCAGGGGGCACGACAUGUGUAACAUACCAGAUUUUGGUAUAAAAAUAAAAAUAAAUAAAAAUAGUGCGAGAAACUAUUUUUAUUGGAUUUAUAGAAGUAAAACACAAGUCAGAAGUGACUUGUGUUAAAAUCGGAAUGAAAACAGAAGAUCUAGAAUUUUCUGUUGGAAACGGGACAGAUAAAUUAGCAGAAAAUGCACAGUCUCAGAAAAUUAUGAAAAUUGGAGAAUAAGUCAGAAAUAUUUUUAUGAGGCUAGAUUUAAAGUUUCAUAUUUUUCUGAUACCCGUAGAGUGAGAAAUAAAAUUCGAGAGUUAUCUGAUAAAGAUUACAGUUCGGUACAGUUUUCAGUGACCAAACGGGGUCGAAACUGAAAACUUAAGAUAUAUUCUUACUCAGUACGUUAAACCGAGCCUGCCUGUCAAAUUUGAGCCCAAACGGACAUUCAGAAGGGCUCCGACUGUUCCGAACUGCUAAACUGCCCUGGAGUGAAUAGUGUUGGAGUGUGUAGUUAUUAAAGAAGUUGAUGCUUCUUCUUCCUCAACCGGCUAGCCCACCCCACCACUCACGCACGCAUGGUGGGAGAGGGAAAACCCUCCCUUCUCUCUCUAGAUUUUUCUUUCAUCUCUCCAAAUCUCUCGCUCAAAUUCGCGGCGUUGGCGGAGAAGAUGCUUGCGAACGCGUUGGGAGCGACGGAUCGAGCUUUCGUGCGGCCGUUGGAGCGGUGUUCUUUAGUUACGGCGUUCACAUUGUGGUAAGCUUUUGGAAUUUGGCUUAAUCCUUCACAUUAAGUGUUCUACUAGCCUCUAAUAAGCAUUGUUAGCAUGUUGCUCCAUUUAAUUUGGAUUAUUUGGAGGUUAAUUCAUGUUAGGGCUCACAAAUGGAGUUUUGUAAAAUAUGAGGGUUUGAUCUCAUUUGACCCUCUAUAGACCUAAUUGCUAGGUAAACGAACGUGUUGGCGAAGUCGGUUCGGCGAUUCGUCGAGCCGUUGUGAUGUUAUUAAAGAAACGGACGUUUAGGCUUCGUUUCCGCCUGGAGGGCCGAGGCGACAUCGUAAACUCAUGAAAAUGGAUUUGAAGCACCGUGGCACAUAACCGAAGAACUUUAAUUUCCGGAUCGUGGAUUGGAGGCCGUUCGGGUGGUCGCGCGAGGGAUCGGGCCAAACCGGGUGCCAGGUGCCGCGGGAGGCCGAUUGCAAGUGUCGACAAGCAAUCGAAAUGCAAAAUGAGGUAGGUUGUGUUUACCGAAGCGACUAGGUCGCCUCUAUGUCUAAGAGAAAUGGUUUCGUAUUGAUGCAUAUAAUAGUAGCUAAUGGUAAAUUAUGUGAAUGCAUGAAGUGAAUGCUAAGUAGGCUACCAAAGAAUGCAUGAGGAUAUAGUGGGAAUGAUGCUAGUUAAAAGUAUGAGAUAAAUGACAUUUGCAUGUUAACAUAAAGUAGAGAACAUGCUAGUUGUAAAGUAUAAUGAUAAGUUGUAAAGAAUGCUAGUUUGGAUAAGCAUGUUAUAUAAAUGCUAGAUAAUGCAUGUUAAUUAUCUAAAGUAACAUGCUAAGAGAAUGCACAUUGAGUGACAUAAUGUUAGUGUUAGAUGAUGCAAGUUAACAUGUAGAGGUUUAUAUUAAUAGAAAUGUGCAUAUGGACAAUCUAUAUAUAUUAGAUCGAGUGGCAUUAAACCUAGAGUCAUGGACAUAGGUUGAACAUGGAUGAUAUGAACCUAGUGUGAAUAAACAUAGGUUGGACAUGAACCUAGUGUCAAAGAAUAUAGGUUGGACAUCAAGUGCCAUUAAACCUAAUGUCUUGAACAUAGGUUGAACAAGUAUAGUGUGAACCUAGUGUCAUGAACCUAGCAAACACUUGUAGCAUUUGAGUAUAUAUAUUUUCUAUCAUUCAUGCAUGAUAGGGCUAAGUACAUGUGAACCUUGGUUGCUUUCAAUGACUUAUUUCUAACGAAGUUGAACAUAGAGAAAGGUAGAACCAUAAUGGACAUGUAUGUUAGGACCCUAUUAUUGUGUGAAUGUGAGAGUUGGACUUGGACAUUAGUGAACAAAGGUGACAUGGACAAUAGAGACAUUGAUUGGCAUAGAGAACAUAGUUGUUAAACAUAGUUUAACCAAGAGUGGCAUUAAGACAAGAAUGACCAAGAGAGCGGCAUGAAUAAAUAGGUAGAAAACCUAUUAUGAUUGUAGCAUUUGUGGCAUUGUGGCUUAUGGCUAUACAUUCCCAAAUUGGGAAUUGGAUCAUACUCACAUUGAGUCUUGGCUUGAGGGUGGUAGCUCCCCCUCGAGCGGUGCAUUCCAGAAUUGUCACCACGGGAGUGCGGUCCCUAAAAACGGUCCCUCAGGUCUUGCAGUGCUUAGAGCCUCCCCGAUCAAAAAGGGUUUUUGAGUUGUAAGUUCGAGGGGAACUGGGUGAACCUCGAUGCAAUUGGGUAAAAGCCAAGUGAAUGUACAUUAAGCAUUAUGAGCUAAAGAUUGAGUAUCCCUGUCGAGUGAAUUUGGGGCUGAGGUGUAUGUGAGACGUCCAUUACCUUGAGCCUGGAUGUAUACGGUAUUCCGCAGAUGAUUGACUCGAGACCGAGUCGGGUGGUUAGCUUGGUUAGUGUAGAGGAAAACCUUAGGAGCAAAUAACCAACGAUAUAAAGUGACAAGAUGUAUAAAUUAUGGAAAAGCUAUGGAUAGCAUGAUAGAAAGUUAAAUCAUUUAUUCUACUUGUAUAGUUGCAUGAUUCGCAUAUAGCAUGGCAUUAUUGCAUUCGUGAGGCAAAGCAUGGUUUUAUUAGUUGCAUAAUCAAGAUAUAUAUCUAUCUGUUUAUUGAACUAACUUGCAGUUGCCUCCCUUGGACCUAUUGGUCGAGCUUUUUCCUUGGGUGGCCGUACCUACUGGGAACCAUGUAGUUGGUUCUCACCCCACGUUGUUUUGGGGUGUUACAGGUUCACACGUGAGCGGCGCGGCGGCGCGAGGCGAGGACGUAGCAUCAUAGUUAGCGCCCUACCACCGAGACCAGAGAUAGCGGUACCCUGAGUCGGCUUUGCUUAGGGUUGUAGAAAAUGAAAAGAAUCAAGUUGUAAUAAUCAUGUUAAAUCGGAUUGUAUUUGGAAGUUAAGUGAAAGCUAAUGUAAAAAUCAAUGAGAAUUGUGAUGUAAAAAUAUAUGAAUGUGAAUGCAUGUAAUAACAUAGGAUGUGUUAUGUUGUUUGAUACCUUCCAUUAUGCAAUCUUGAUUGAAAUGUGUUCCUGGUUGGAACUCAUUGUACUUGUAUUGAUUGCUAUGCCUUGAACGUACAGGGGAGACUCUGUCCGUAGUACAGGGGAUACCCUGUCUGUUCUGCUGUCUAUUGCGGCGCCGCGACCCGGCCAAAUAAGCGGGCGGUCGCGGGGCGUGACAACAUGCUCGACACCCGCCUGGGCCGCCGCCUGCUGACGCUCCAAGGCCUCCUGGAGCCGCUGAAUCUGCUCCCCUUGGCGUUGAACAGACUCCGCUUGUUGCCGCAGUGCGCCAAUAAACGCGGCCAUCUUCUCCCUAAGCUCUCCGUCGCCACUCACUCCGGAUCGAUCGGGCGCCACAUUCGACUCCUUCGGCAUCGACCUUGUCUACAGUCGACCACGAGGCUCCAUUGCUUCCUUAAAAGAAGCAACUCACACUAGCUACAUGACCACAUUACUUGACCAUACCCAAUCCGACGAAAGCAACAUGCACAUUCAUCCUUGCCUCAAGCGUCAUGUCGUCAGCCGCCCGACACAACACUAGAAGUAGAGGAUAAACGAAAAUUAAACUUAGUCUCUAAUCACAUUAGAGACGUCCGAACUUAACCAAAUCACAUGCUUUCGCUAACUUUAAUUCCACGUCACUCACGUUUCCUAGAUCCUUAAGGUCUUCCAAUCCUAAGGGUCUCUAAGUCCAUUCCUAUUCUUUCACUCUUGGCUCUGAUACCACGAUAUCUGUCACGCCCUGGGACCGAUACCAAUUUGGGCCGGCCCGAGCACGUCAAACAGACGCCGAACGGACAGAGUUUCCCCUAUCCGCCCAAGGCUCAUCACCUAUACAUUUUCAAUCAUGAAGUGCACUAGCGGAAACAUACACAAAUGGCUUACACAAGGGUAAGCAAUAGCCAUGAGUGAGAGAAUGGAAACUAACAUUCAAUUUGUACUAUGAUUCAAUUUAGAUCAUAUACAUUGCAUUCAUAGUUCUUUACAUACUUUUCAUCAUUUCUUUUUACAUCACAUUGCCUCAAAAUAAAACUUUACAGUCUUUUUCUUUACUUUAAACAUCUUCGAGUACAAAAGAUGAAGUAAGGGAACGCUACUACAAAAUGUAAACCCAACUCUGGUGGCCUCUGACUAAGGUGCGAUACCUUUACCGCGGUCACUCGCCAGCUCGCUCGGUCCUGGCUCUGUGGAAUAGUAGGGUGAGAACUACAACAAAGUUUCAAGUGGGUUCAGCCCCAAUCUCACCGACUUUUUCACUAGGACUAACUCAGGCAUAAUAGAAAGGAUAAGCAGAAAUAUAGUAACCAAUCUGUAACAUGAUGCUAAUAUGCCUGAACAAUAAAGCACGGAGUAUGCUCAACAUAAAACUCAUGCAGAUUAUGCAAGUUCUUUUGUUCUUUCUCUUUACUCUUUAAGCUUUGUUCUUUAUUCUUGUUCUUUAAUCUCAUGGCUAACCCGGGGGUUUCGCCACAUUAACUUGCCCAUAUUAUCAUUGUUCUUUACAUCACUUUGCAUUAACUUUAAUCAUUAUCAUCACUCUUUACAUCACAUUGAUCCUUUGCCUCACACUAACUCUAGUGUCACUUUACUUUACAUUAUCGAAUGCCACUCGAUCUAUGUCUCAUUGUGUCACUCUGUUCUUUUGCCUUACUUUGAUGCUCACAUUAUAUCUCAUGCAUACAUGUAGGGUUAAACAUUCAUAGGAGUUCUCGACCAUCUCAUUAGGCAAAUUGUACUCACAAUAUGCAACAUCACAUCAUUCUCAUUACAUAUACCCUAUGAUGCAUGCAACAAUGUAUAUAACAUAUGCUCAAUUGAAUGACACAUUAGGCAUAGAAGGAAGUUCAACGAGUUUGGAUAGCACCACCCACCUCGUAGGUUCUCAAAGGUGCUCCGACGAUUUUCUUGGGAUUUUUAGACUCCUCGUUCUUCACCUGCGGCAAAACGAAGCCAACUUAGGCCAUUUUGCCCAUAAGUUUUUAUAGACUUUUCGUAACGUUAAUCCGAGCGCACCAACGCAUCGAAAAUACCCCCAAUUAAGUUUCUAGAGGGUCAAUUUCACUUUGAAACCCUCACAAGCAAAAGCCCCAAUUUGGGUGCCCUAGCUCAUAACAUAUAUCAAACCUAGGGUUUGAUCUCAUUGGAAGCAAAAGAACCUUCAAUCUACUCUAGGAAGUCCAUUAAAACCAUUCUUUGCUUAACCCAAACCCUAGUUUAGAUCCUACCAUGAGAGGGGUAAAAGCUCACCUUCAAGCUCCACCUCUACACUCAAUCCAUGGUUUCGAUCUCAAAAGAAGCAAAAGAAAGCUUCAAAGGCUCAAAAGGUUUUAUCAAAACCCAAUUCUAUGCUUACCCAAACCCUAGUUUGGGAUUUACCAUGAAAAGGGCAAAGCUUGUCACGCCCGAGCUCCGCCAAUUUGGUCGAACUUGGGCACGCCAACAGACCGCCGAACGGACAGAACCUCCCAUGUACGUUCUAGGCGUCACAAUCUAUACAAUACAUACAAGAGGUUCCAACUAGGAACUAUAUUCAAACAUAGACUGCAUACGUAUCAAAAACAUAAAAUGCUAACUAUGCUAUUACAAGCAUUCAUCUCAGAGAUUUAUUACAUUUUACAAUAUCACAAAUACUUUUAAGUUAUUACAUAAGCCUUUAUACAAUUUACAACUUAUACAAUUUACUACAAAUUUGAUUCUUUUAAUCUGAACUGAACUAGACCUCUUCAGGGUAUUGCUAUCUCGGUCUCAGUGGUAGGGCGCUAUCUACGGAGCUACGCCCUGUCCUCGCACCGCCGUGCCGCUCACGUAUGAACCUGUACCCCUAAAAACAACACGGGGGUGAGAACUAUAUAAAUAUAGUUCCCAGUGGGUACGACCACCCAAGGGAAGAGCUCAACCCACCAGGUCCAAAGGAGGCACUGUAACAUGUUAGUCCAAUAGAUAAUAACAAAUAAUUUAUGCAGAUAUUAAAAUAUGUAUGCCUCACGAUAUGCAAUAUGCAAAUUAUGCAACUAUGUAACAAGUAAAUCUAUUGAUUCUACAUUCAAUUCUGCUAAUCAUAGCUCAUGUCAUUUAGCUCUAAAGUUUCUACUACCUUAGGUUCACAAUUCGAGUCCCCUUACUACUAAGGUUUCCACUUUCUUAGCUCUUACUAUUUAUCUUUAGCUUUUAAGGCUUCUACCGCCUUAACCAAGCUAACCGUCCGACUCGGCCUCGAGCCAAUCAUUCGCGUACUACCGUGCACUGGCACCGCACUCAUUGACUUAACCAUCUGGCGGUGAAAUCGUCGCAUAUGCCGAACAAUGGUUCAAGUCAAUCUCUGGCGGCAUAAUCCACAAGCUGGCUUAACCAUCUGGCGGCGAAAUCGUGCACACGCCCUAGCCUUGAUACCAAGGUCAUCACUGGUCUUGGGAUUCCGGAAUCUGUUUCCACAACUUGAGGGUUUAACACUUACCCUAUAUUGUCGACCUUCCUAGGCCUAAAUCAAUCAUUUCCUAGUGGUCAUUUGUAAUACACUGAACUUUUGCAAAUUGCGGAGUUCGAGUGUGUGGAAUGAGUUGUGGAACUAUCCUACAUGUUCUAAAGGGCUUGGACAAGUUUUCGGACAAGUUAGAGAAUGAUUGGAUGGCCAAAGUAAGGAAGUGCAUUGCUGUGGCAUUAUCUUCGAAUUUUGCAUUGUGUACCGGUAUAGGCAUUAUGUUGUACCGGUACAGCAAGCAGCAGCUGCAGCAGGUGCGUGGCAGCAGGGUUCUUUUUGUCUUUUUGUUUCCUGUUCCUAUCCCUUAUGUCCAGCACGACUACAGGAGCUCAGUAAGGGUUGCUGGAGCUCAGGGGAUGGUUCUUCCACCUUCUUCUCUCUCUCUCUCUAGGGUUUUUCUCUCUCUACAAAGAAAUCGCCGAUUUCGCUCGUUUUCGUCGCAACGUUGGUUUUCCGCUGGUUGCGAGCGUCGCUGAACCUACGUGGACGUGUGAGAGAGUAUUUUGGAAAGUUUUCGGAGCCCCGAACCAGUAGUUUACUGGUUAGAGGCUUGAAGAGGUAAUCGACUCAACCUUUUUCCGUAAUCGAGGCUUAAUUACUCGAAUAGUGGCUGAUUUUGGGUUUCGUUGUUUCCAGCUGAGAGAAAAAGGAGAUUUGCUGCUUUGACAGAGUCAGAUACUAUAUCUUAACUCAGUUGGAACUGAGUUUAUGAUCUAAGAAGGUAUAGUACUUUUUUUUUUCAUUGCGUUGCGCAUGAAAUUGAGACAAAAAGGCUAAUUUUGGAAUCGCUGUUCGCAGCAGGUUUUUGAAUUAAACUGAGCUUAAUUGGUGACAUUGGGGACUGGUUUAGAAGGUGUUCUAACCUAGGGUAAGCAGGAAUUUCUGCUAGAGAUCUAAUUUUACAAGAAUUCGGCUAUUUUAGCUAGUAUACUAGCAUUCUAAUGCCGUUUUGAUGUUGUUCGUAGCAAGAGUGCGAUCGACUCUUGGAGUGACUUCAGCUGACUUGUGAAAGCUUUUGAAGGCUCAACUUGAGGUAUUAAGCUAGCCCGAAGCAGGAAAUUAAGUUAUUACUUUGUACUAUGUGUGAUUGGAGCCGAAAUUGGAUUAUUAAGUAAUCGUUUCGACGCGGUUUGAUGCUUUGUUUUCAGCAGGUCCAAAGACCGUGUGAGCUGAGUUUGGAGCUUCUGUUGGGCUGUUUUGAGCUUAGUGAUAGAUGGGUUUGACCUAACCAGAGCAAGUGAAGCUCCCCUAUGUUCUAUAUGUCACUAUAGAAUGGAUUUUGUAGUGCGUUUUUUGCGACUAUGUGAUUGAUAUGAAUUUGGACAUCUUUGCCGCCAUGUUUGAUAUGUUUGACGUUGUACCUCUAUGAAGUAGAGAUGAAGUAGAGAGACUGCAUGCAUAAAAGUAUUUAUGAUCAUGUCUAAUACUGUAAAAUGACUUACGAACAAGUGUAGGAUGCACUUAUAAAGUAGAGAACAAUAGCAUUCUCUUGACUCUAAAGUAGAGAGCUAUGACAUGCUUAUGACUAUGUUGACAGUGCCAUAAUAGUGAAAAGAUUAUAAUGCCAUGUGAUUUAACAUUGCUCUUACAUGUUUACAAUCUAGUGGAUACUAGUUCUUGUUACUAUUUGUGUAUUGAAAUUCCGAUCAGAGGAUCGAGGGUAAGAACAUUGCAAAUGAAAACAUGAUAAUUGAGACAUGUGGACAGUGGAAUAUGCUUGCUUGCCAUCGUGCUCAUUCGCACACGCUUGUGAGGGUCGCUCCCUACAAGCCGGCACUCCGGAGUUGGGCUACGCGACAGUUGCUCGCCCGUGCGGGAUUGGGUGCCGAAGUGGAUUGCCAUGGGGAGUGCAUACUACCACGGGACCAUUAGGCGCGGCGCAAGCCGGACUACCUUGGGUAGGUCCUGAUGAAUGAAAGGAAAACUCUAUUGAGGUGAAAGUACUAAAUGACAAAGGACAGUAAUGAAUGCUUACUAGUUAAAGUGUACAGUAGUUACUUUCACAUUCGUGCUUAUAUUCAUGUUUAUGUUCAUGAUUACAGAAGUUGUUAUAUCUCUAUUAUGCAAAUGAUUCAUUACUGUAGAAAGCUAUUACAUGUUGAUUACAUGCUCAUUACUUGUUAGCAUCAUACUUAUAUAUCAUGCAAUUAUCGUUUUUGCUUUCAUUUAGUACAUCGUGAGCCUAGUGGUGUAAUUCGCCGAGGCUGGCGGCUUACCCACUGGGAACUAUUGCUUAUAGUUCUCACGCCCUUUUUGGUGGUUGUUUUUACAGAGCCAUCUACAGGAGAGGCUAGGGAUCGUGGCAAAGGAGUCGCGUCUAGCUAGACCUUGCUAGGAGUAUGCUAGUCGAUCACCUUGUUACUCGGGCUAUGGCCGAGGGUGAUGUCCCUAUGUAUAGAGAGACCACCAUUGUACCUAUUCUUUUUGUAUACCCCGUGAUGUAUAUUUACUUUUUGGACAGAUACUAUAGUUGUGAUACUUCACGUUUUGUUGAGUUUGUGGAUUAUAUACUCCUUGUUCUAUUGUUGAUAGUCAUUGUGACUUUUACUAUGCUCUGAUAUCAUGAUAGGAUUAUUUUAUGUUUUUACUCCUAUCGACUUGUUUCUUGUAGACGCCUUAUAUACUACAGGUGUAUGGCGGGUCUGUGCACGUACCGGAUAUGCUUCCGCUGGUACCUGGGCGUGACAUCAUUAUACCACUAAAAUCCACAACUUAAUUCAGAUACACUAAGUCUCACUAUACAUGAUAACCUAGGUUCACUUGCUAGGUUCUCUGUCAUUUCACCUAGAUCUCGACUCUAGGUUUACUUACUUGACCUAUGUCCAAUGACACUAGGUUCAUGUCCAACCUAUGUUUAAUAAUACUAGGUUCAUGCCACUCAAUCUAUAUAUUAUCCUAGUUAUCCAUGCCUAGGAUUAUAGUUUACACAUUUUCAUUUAUUUUGUCACCGUCGAGAUUUCUAAUCAACUAGAGUUAUCGACUCAUACUUAUUUCAUAUGUAUCUAGCAUGUUCAUAAUAGGUCAGUAUUUAUAUGUCAUUCAAUAUGAUCAUCAAUAUAUUCAUAUGCAUAUUCCAAUGGUAGGUAACUUAGCUACUAUAUCACAAUUCAUGCUUUCAUUUCAUCAUUCAUAACCUACCACUAUAAAUAUAUGCAUCAAUAAAAACCAUAAAUUACUUUGGCAUGGAAGCGACCUAAUCGCUUCGGUAAAGCACAACCCACCUGUACUGUCACGCCCCGCCCCGAGACCGCUACCAAUUUGGUUCGGUUCGGGCACGCCGGACGGAUGCCGAACGGACGGCACCUCCCCUGUCCGCCCAAGGCUCAACUAAGGAUCAUGUACAAAGAAUUUGCCCAGGGAUAAUUCAAUACAUACACGAUCCAACAAGGAGAGAAGCACAAAGAGUGCAAUACAACAAGAGCAAGUAACACAAGUAUACAUACAAGUGCAUAAAGAGAGAUACAUCUAGCUAUUACAUUACAUUCCACUUUUACAUCUUUGAUUACAUUUACAUUUUCAUCAUCACCCAAAAUGAAUACAUAUUCCACUCACAUGCAUCUAGGUACAAUGUACUCUCCAAAAUACAACCAUGCCACCUAUGUACACGAGAGUACUCUAGUACAAAAGGAAAGCCACAACUAGCUAGCUAGGGCGCUACGCCCUUACCGCGAUCACCUGCCGGUUCGCUCUCGUGUGUACCUGUACCCCAAAACCACACGGGGUGAGAACUAUAUAAAUAUAGUUCCCAGUGGGUUCGGCCGUCGACUCCGCCGAUCUUUCCACUAGGUCUAAGCUGGCAUAGAUAGAUAGAUAGAUAGAUAGAUAGAUAGAAAUGAAACUGCAACUAUGCUCUACUAUGCCAUCAAAUGCAAACAAUGCAUGGAAUAUCAUCUAGCAACAAGCCUACUAUCAUGCUAGCAUGCUUCAACGAUGUAAUGAAUACAAAUACGACAUAGUUAUGCAAUCCACUAACAUAUACUAUGUCUAAUCAGGGAUGAAUAGAAAUCCACUUAUGCUAUUCAUGUCAUUACCCCAUCCACUAGGCUACCCCGCCUAAGAUCUCAAAUCUCAUAGGUACUCACACCACAAUCUAGUAGGUGAAGAGGUGAAGAGCUACCCCGCUCUUCGCCCUGACUGAUAUCUCAAAUCUCACAGGUGAGGAGCUACCCCACUCUUAUCUCACCCGUCUCACAUCUCAAAGGUCAUAGAUGAAGAGCUACCCCGCUCUAAUCUCAUAGGUAAUGAGCUACCCCGCUCAUUCUCAUAAAUAAUGAGCUAACUCUAUCAAGUAUACAUGCAACUCUACUACGCUCAACAAGCUUAACAUGCUCAAUAUGCCCAAUAUGCUCAACUUGCAUAAUCCUCUUGAGUUUAUUACCCAAUCAUCUAGCUGGCCCAUAGGCGCGCCCUCGACUCACAACUCAAAUCCGUCUAUGAAGGGGGACUCGAACCACCCGAGGGAUUGUCUGCGGGACCCCACAUAGGCAAUCCCUUGGGACCCCACAUAGGCUAUCCCAAUCGUUUCACGUGCCAAGACUCCGGAGCUCGCACUACUUGUGCGGAGCGACCGCCACAAGCGCCGAACAGACUGUGUGAGUAUAAUCAAAUUCGUUUCCAACGAAGGUACCCGGUCACUACGACCAACAUGCACAAGUGUUCUUUUAACACUACGUUCUAAUGCCACUCGUCAAGUUGUUUACUUGGUAUACAUAUGCCACUCGUCAAGUAUGUACUUGGUUCACAUGUCACUUGCCAUAAUGCAAUUGUCCCAACUAUACUAGUCAUAUAUCCUCUAUGCAAGAUCAAGUUAUUGUUUAACUUAUCUCUAUAGGGUUCUAUGUCACAAACUCAUUCUCAUGCACUCUAAGUUCACAUGCCAAGCUUACUAUGCCGCAAUACAAGGGAGCAUGAAAGAAUAGUAAAAGUAACAUCUAAAUACCCUAACAUGCAUGAUACUAUAUAUGUAGGAUGUUCAACAUAAAAAUACUUAGACAUAGGGAGAAGCCCAGUUGCUUCGGGAUGACACCCCCCACCUUUUAUCGCUAUCACGAGGCUAGGGUUCCGAUUUCGUGAUUUUUGUAAGCUUUCGCCACGAGCUGCGGCAAUCUGUACCUUAACGGCUUCAUUCUUUAAUUUCUUCGCGUAUGCUCAUCGUAUCGCCAAACCGACUUCGCCAACGCGUCAGAAAACCUAGCAAUUAGGUUUAUACAUGAUUAAUUUAGAUCAAACCCUCACAUAUUGCAAAAUCCCAUUUUUGAGCCCUAACAUGCAAUUACCCCCAAAUAAUCCAAAUUAAAUGGAGCAACAUGCUAAGAAUGCUCAUUAGAGGAUACUAGAACACUUAAGGUUAAGGAUUAAGCCAAAUUCCAAAAGUUUACUAAAAUGUGAAUGCCGAGACGGAAGCACACCGCUCCAACGGGCGCACGAAAGCUCGAUCUGUCGCUCCCAACGCGUUCGCAAGCUCGUUCUCCGCCAACGCCGCGAAUUUGGGCGAAAGAUCUAGAGAGAUGAGAGAGUUAUUUAGAGAGAGAAAGUGAGGAUUUCUCUCACUACCACCAUGAACGUGUGCUUGUGGGGGUGGUGCUCGGUUGUGAAGAAGCCAAGUCACUAGAAGCUUCUACUUAUAGUCAACACCCCAAUAGUAGCAUACACUAUUCACUUCAGGCAGUUCGAAAUCUGAUAUCUUUCGCUGGAGCCCUCUGAAUAUCCGUUUGAGCUCAAAUUUGACAGUCAUGUUCGGUUUUGCUUAACUUAAUGAAAGAAAUUUUAAUAUUUCAGUUUCGACCCCGUUUGGUCAUCGAAAGCCGUACCGAACUAUAAUCUUUAUCAGAUCACUAUCGGAUUUUAUUUUUCACCUUCCGAGUGUCAGAAUGAUAUGAAACUUUAAAUCUAGCAUCAUAAAAAUAAUUCUGACAUAUCCUCCAGUUUUCAUAAUUUUCUGACACUGUACAUUUUCUGCUAAUUUAUCUGCCCCGUCUCUCACAGAAAAUUCUAAACCUUCUGUUUUCGCUCCGAUUUCAGCACAGGUCAUUCCCAACCUAUAUUUCACUUCUCUAAAUCCAAUAAAAAUAGUAUCUCAUACUAUUUUUAUUUAUUUUCACUUUUAUAUUUAAUAUCUAGUAUGUUACAUUCUGCCGCAACCUCACCGGAACCAUUUAAAUGUACACCGUAACUUCAUAGUUUUAGAAGUCCGGUACCUUACAUGUACUUAAUACCGGAAUGUGAGAAAUCCGCUUUUUGCCCUUAAUGGACGAUCUCAAUCCUUGCGCGCGACAACCUGAGCUAAAAUGAGGUUUUUCUUAAUUAGUGCAUCGUAGGCUUGUCGGAACACCAAUCCGAGCUUCCCAACGCGUCGGUUUUAUCUUCAAUUAGGAUUCUAUGCAAUCAAUUCUAAGCUAGGCUCCCAAUCCUACAAAAUACGAUCUUAGGCUCUACAUACACUGUUUCUAUACAAUUUCACAAAAUAUAUAGAGUAAUUCAACUUUUCACUAGCCCAAGAACCUCAAAAUAAUUAGUUUAGAGGAUUUACAUCAAUCCCUAAUAAAGGAUUACAAAAAUAUGCAUAGUAACUUAUUUUACUUCCUAGCUUCCAAAGCUCACAUCUGACAUACAUGGCACUUUUCUAGGUUCUCAUGGCUAAAUCUGCUUUUAGCAACCAUAUAAAGCAAACUUAGGCUUUAACAAUCUAAAAAAACCUUAAACUUAAUAAAGGAAUAACAACCAUUCACAUGUAUACUACACACAUAUAUACAUAACUCAACAUAUGGCUUGUUCUCUGGGGUUCAUGGCAACUUCAAGUUUUGGAAACCAAGAAGUUUACAACCAAUUUCUCCUUAGGUUAAGUAAACAUAAACUCUAUUAAAGCAACAGCCCCAGUUUCAUACAUGUGGCCAACAUGUUUUCUCUAAAUUUUCUUUCAUGUCAACAGAAGCUUUAACAUCUACAAUCCUUAGAGUCCAAGAGUUCCAAUUUAAAUCCUCAUUAAAGCACAUAACACGCCCUAAUUAACCAGGAAUUAUAUCAUUCUUAGCAAGAAAUACAACCAACCCACCUUAGGUUCCAAGCUCCAAAAAGGGUUCUUCUCAGCUCAAGCUUCUAUUCCACCAAAAUCCACCCACUCCACUAAUUCUCUAACAACUAGCCACCUUACAUUUGUAGAGAGAGAGAAGAAACCAAAAUGAAAAGAGAUGAAGAGAGAGAGAGUCUUGGUACGCAUGGAGGGUUGAGGUGCAGGGUUGUAGAUAAGAUCAGGGAACAUUGCAAUUAAACCCCUCCACAUGGCUGAAAUUACCUUGCAGCCCAACACUAACACAAUUUUUGGUUUAGUAGUUCGGAAUCUGAUACUUUUCGCUGGAGCCUUUCUGAAUGUCAGUUUGCGCUCAAAUUUAACAGUCAGGCUCGGUUUAACAUAACAAGAACUAAAAAAUUUUAAUCUUUCAGUUCCGACCAUUUUUGGUCACCGAAUGCUCUACCGAACUGUAAUCUCUAGCAGAUAACAGUCGGAUUUUAUUUUUUACCUUCCGGGUGUCAGAAUGACAUGAAACUUUAAAUCUAGCCUCAUAAAAAUAAUUCUGACAUAUUCUUCAAUUUUCAUAAUUUUUUGACACUAUUCAUUUUCUGCUAAAAUACCAGCCCCAUUCUUUUACAGAAAAUUCUAAAUAUUCUGUUUUCGCUCCGAUUUCAACACGAGUCAUCCCAAACUUAUAUUUUACACCCUUAAGUCCAAUAAAAAUAGUAUCUCACCCCAUUUUUAUUCACACUUAAUUUUAUAUUAUUUUGCUCACUUUAAUCAACAGAAACCUCAUAGUCCAAUAAUUUUCCUUCGAAGUCGUUUCGCGCCCAAUUUGCGCCGAAACACUCAUUUAUCUUCGGAAUUCAUUCCCACGCAUUCAAAAUCACUUGAGGAAGAUACAAAACCAGCUCAACUUUACUUUGAUCCUCUAGAUCAAAGUUGACAUCGCAACUCCAAAUUUUCAUAUAUUACAAAGCUUACCUCUAAGUUUGCUCCUUUCUUGCACUAGAGGGGAAGAAGAAGAAGUCACUCCACUCCAAUGGCUUCUUCUCCACCUUCCUUGCCUUUCUUUUUCCUUUCCUUCUCCUUCUUCUUCUCUUUCUUUCCUUUCCUUUCUUCUCUUCUUUAUCUUCUAGAGAGAGAAAGAGAGAUGAGAGAGUGUGAGAGGGAGUGAAAUGAGAGAAGUAUCUCAUUUUCCCCCAUACUAUACCCUAUGGGUUGCAAAAUUACAGUUAAACCCCUCAACUUUCAUCUUGUUACACUCCCCAAACUGGGCAUUUUUCGUGCUCGGGGACCGGUCUCCGCGACUUAGGACCGGUUCCAGAGAGCUCUCCCCGCGGGCAGCCAAGGCUACGUGCGACGCAACCGGUCUCUCCCCCAGAGGGACCGGUCUCUCGGUGACCAGUCUCUUCCCGCAGGGACCGGUUCCCGAGAGCUGGCUUUCUGGGACUUAGCCGAUUUUUCGGCUUUCUCACGUUGCACGCGUUCGGGGACCGGUCUCUCCCACCAGGGACCAGUCACCGAGAGCUCAAAAACUGCAGUUUGCAGAUUUUUGAUUCUUUAGCUCUCGAAAACCUCCCACAACGCACUUUUGACCAUUUUAACACCUUCGGACUUUUCGAAGUGUACCAUUCUCGCACUUUGGUCAAUUUGACUAAAGUUCGAUAUUUAUUUUUUGAAUUUUCGGUAUAUUACAAAUCUAGAGAGAGAAAGGGAGGUUUCUCUCUCCUUCUCCAUGCGUGCGUGUGUUGUGGGGUGGUGUGGUCGGCUGAGGAAGAAGAAGAGGUCAACACUCCUCUUUAGUCAACACCCAAAACACUAUUCACUUCGGGCAGUUUGAAAUCUGAUAUCUUUCGUCGGAGCUCCCUGAAUAUCCGUUUGAGCUCAAAUUUGACAGUCAUGUUUGGUUUACUUAACGAGUCCAAAAAAAUUUUAAUAUUUCAGUUUCGACCCCGUUUGGUCACCGAAAACUAUACCGAACUGUAAUCUUUAUCAGAUAGCUGUCGGAUUUUAUUUUCCACCUUCCGGGUAUCAGAAUGAUAUGAAACUUUAAAUGUAGCCUCAUAAAAAUAAUUCUGACUUAUCCUCCAGUUUUCAUAAUUUUCUGACACUGUGCAUUUUCUGCUAAUUUAUCUGUCCCGUUUCAAACAAAAAAUUCUAAAUCUUCUGUUUUCAUUCUGAUUUCAGCACAUGUCACUUCUGACUUAUAUUUUACUUCUCUAAAUCCAAUAAAAAUAGUUUCCCACACUAUUUUUAUUUUUAUACCAAAAUCUAGUAUGUUACACUGCCACAAUCUUUUAAAGCAGAGUAUACUGAGUAUGAGGAGUUGGAGGAAGAAGUUGGGCUCAAUGUGGCCCAAUUACAGCUAGAGGAUACCAAACCGGCCAAUGCGGUGGUUUUCGAGAAACUAUCGGCCAUGCAGAUAAGAUUUGUAAGGCCUUUUUUCAUACGGGCCUUAGUUGAAGGUCGGCCGGUAGGCCGAGUUAUGAUAGACGGCGAAGCGAUGGUCAAUGUCAUGCCCACUUCAUUCUUUAAGAAGUUAGGCAAGGAUGAAGAUGAGUUGAAGCCCACUGACACGAUCAUGACCGACUUCACUGGGAGCGGUAAGCAAGCUCGAGGGGUGCUUACGACCGAGAUCACGGUAGGUUCCAAAACUUUACGAACUGCAUUCUUUGUGGUUGAUGCAGAUAGUCAAUAUAACUGUCAUGCCCCGAGACCGCUACCAAUGCGGUCCAGUUCGGGCGCGUCGAACAGACGCCGGACGGACAGCACUUCCCCUGUCCGCCCAAGGCUCAAAAAUAAGAUCAUGUACAUAGAAUUGCCUAGGAAUAAAUUCAAUUACAUACAUGAUAAAGCACGGAGCACUAUAAGUACUAACAAGUAAGAGUAAGGCACAAGUAUACUAUACAAGUGAAAUAAGGAGAGAUACAUCUAUCUACUACAUCCACAAGGCAUUCAACAUUUAGAUCCUUGAUUACAUUUACAUCUCCAAAAUGAACAUUCAUGAUAAUCUCCCAAAUACACAAGCAACCUCCCAAAGUACAUCAUAUGUCACGGGGUACACGAGGGUACACUAAUGCAAGUGGAAGCUACUAACUAUACCUAGGGUGCGAUGCCCUUACCACGGUCCUCUGCCGGUGCUCUCUCGCUAGGCCCUGCAACAAAGUGGGGUGAGAACUAUAUAAACAUAGUUCCCAGUGGGUUCAGCCGCCGACUCCGCCGAUGUCACGCCCCGGGACCGGCGGAGGCCCUCCCGGUAGCGUGCCCAGACCCGCCAUAUGUCUACACAUAUAAGGCGUCUACAAUAAAAGCGGAAGAAAAGCAAGAAAUAGAACAAAUAAAAGAAGGGAAAUAACCAGCAACUAAUGAUAUCAGAGCAAAUAUAGUUCUAACAUCUACACCAAAGUAAAGAGAUAAGGAUAGACAAUAAAGGAAAACAUAAGUAGUACAAUAUCUGUCUCUAGUACAAAAAUGGUGGUCUCUAUACAUAUACGGUACAACUCUCAACCUCUCACAAGCAUAUAACACGAGAGGUAGACCACCUAUCGAACGAUCCCUCGGUAAGCACGCUAGCCCGAGGCGAUACCCUUUCCGCGAUCCCUGGCCUCUCCCUGCGUGGAAGGCUCCAUGCAAUUACCCCCAAUAAUCCAAAAAUUAAAUGGAGCAACAUGCUAACAAUGCUCCAUUAGAAGGAUACUAGAACACUUAAGGUUAGGAUUAAGCCAAAUUCAAAAGUUUACAUAAAUGUGAAUGCGGACGGAAGCACAGUAAUCGGCUCCAAACGGCGCACGAAAGCUCGAUCUUCGCUCCACUCAACAUAGCGUUCCAAGCCGUUCUCCCAACAUGCCGCGAAAUAUGUGCGAUAAAAGUCUAGAGAGAUUAAGAAGAUUAUUUAGCGAAGAAAAUGAGGAUUUGCUCUCACUAACACCAUGAAACCGUGUGCUGUGGGGUGGGUCGUUUGGAAAACCAAUCACUAGAAGUUCUACUUAUAAGUCAACAACCCAAUAGUAGCAUACACUAUUCACCCUUCCCAGACAUUCGAAAUCUAUAUCUUCGCUGUGAGCCCUCUGAAUAUUCCGUUAGCUCAAAUUCUGACAGUCAGUCGUUUGCUUAACUUAAUGAAAGAAAUUCUUAAAUAUUUCAGUUUCGAGCCCUGGGACUCGUUUUCCGGUUUGGUCAUCGAAAGCCCGUACCUGAACUAUAAUCUUUAUCAGUAUAAACUAUCGAUUUUAUUUUUCACGCUCCUGAGUGUCAGCAAGAUUGAAACUUUAAAUCUACAUCAUAAAAAUAAUUCUGACAUAAUCCUCCAGUUUUCAUAAUUCUGACACUGGUAAUUUUCAUGCUAAUUUAUCUCCCAGUCUCUUCACAGAAAUCUAAAACCAUUAUUCGUCUUUCGCUGCCGAUUUCACAUCAGUGUCAUUGCCCAGCCUAUAUUUCACCUUCUCAUAAAUCCAAUAAAAUCAGUAUCUCAUACUAUUUUUAUUUAUUUUUCCCCUUUCACUUUAUAUUUUAAUAUCUAGCUAAUGUUACAUUCUGCCGCAACCUCAACGCGAACACAUUCAAAUCGCUUCCAAAUCAAAUGUCACCGUAUGCUUCAAUAAUAUAGAAGUCCGGUACCCGUUACAUGUACUUAAUACGGGAAUGUGAGAAAUACCGCUUUGCCUUAAUGGACCCGAUCUCAAUUCUGCGCGCAGACAACUCUAGCAAAUGAGGUUUUUUAUCUUAAUUAGUGCAUCGUAGCGCUUGUCGGAACACCAAUCCGAGCUUCCCACGCGUCGGUUUAUCUUCAUUAGGAUUUUACUGCAAUCAAUUCUAACUAGGCUCUCCAAUCCACAAAAUAACGUCUUAGCUCUACAUUACACGUUUCUUAUACAAUUUCACAAAAUAUUUAUAGAGUAAUUCAACGUUUUCAACUAGCCCAAAAGAACUCAAAUAAUAGUCUAAGAACGGAUUUACAUCAAUCCUCAAUAAAGAUUAAAUGCACCCCAAAACUAUCAUAGUAAACAUUAUUUUAUCUAGCUUCCAAGCUCAACAUCUGACAUACAUGGGCACUCUUUCAGGUUCUCAUGCUUAAAUGCCUUUUAGCACCAUAUAAAGCAAAACUAGGCUUAACAAUCUAAAAAACUCUAAACUUAUAAAGGAAUAACUACCAUUCAACAUUAUACUACACAUCAUAUAUACAUAACUCACAUAUGGCUUUUCUCGGGGUCAUGGCAACUUCAAGUUUGGAAACCAAAGAAGUUUAACAACCAAUUUCUCCUAGGUUGAAGUAAACAUAACUCUCAUUAAGCAACAGCCGCCAGUUUUCAUACAUUGUGGCCAACAUGUUUUCUCUAAUUUUCUUUCAUGUCAACAAGCUUUAACAUCUACCAAUCCUUAAGUCCCAAGAGUUCAAUUUAAAUCCCUCAUUAAAUGCACUAAACACGGCCUAAUUACUCAGUGAAUUAUAUCAUCUUAGGAAGAAAUAGCAACCAACACACCUUAGGUUCCAAGCUCCAAAAAGGUUCUUCUCAGCUCAAGCUCUAUUCCAUCCAAAAACCAAACCACUCCAUCUAAUUCUCUAACAACUAGCCACUUACAUUUGAAUAAAAGAGAAGAAGAAGAAAACAAUGAAAAGAGAUGAGAAAGAGAGUAAAACUUGGUACGGCAUAGGAGGGGUUGAGUGCAGGUUGUGAUAAAAUCAGGGAACAGAUUGCAAUUAAAACCCUCACACACAUAGGCUAGGAAAUUACCUCGCAGCCGGCACACACUCACCACACAUUUUGGUUUAAGUAGUUCGGUAAUCUGAUACUUUUCGUCUGGAUGCUUUCUGAAUUGUCAGUUGCGUCAAAUUUAACAGUCAGGCUCGGUUUAAAACAUAACAAGGAAAUAAAAUUUUAAUCUUUCAGUUCGACCAUUUUUUGGUCACCGAAUGCCUCUACGCGAACUGUAAUCUCUAGGGCAGAUAACAGUCGGAUUUUAUUUUAACCUUCCGGUGUCAAUAAUGACAUGAAACUUUAAUCUAGCCUCCAAUAAAAAUAUUCUGACAUAUUCUUCAAUUUUCAUAAUUUUUUGACACAUUCAUUUCUGCUAAAAUACCACCCCAUUUUUACAGAAAAUUCUAAAUAUCUCUUUUUUUCGCUCCGACUUUCAAACAAGUCACCCAAAUAUAUUUACAACCCUUAAUCCAAUAAAAAUAGUAUCUCACACCCAUGUUUUAUCACUACUUAAUUUAAUUAUUUCGCUCACUUUAAUGCAACAGAAACCUCAUAGUCCAAUAAUCUUUCCUUCGAAAGACAUCGUUUCGCGCCCAAUUUGCGACGGAAACACUCAUUUAUCUUCGAAUUCAUUCCACGGCAUAUCAAAAUCACUUGAGCGAAGAAUUACAAACCAGCUCAAAACUUCUACUUUGAUCCUCUAAUCAAAGUUGACAUCGCAACUCCCAAAACCAAAUUUCAUAUAUUACAAGCUUACCUCUAAGUUUGUCUCUUUCUUGGCACUAAGAGAGGAAGAGAAGAAGUCACUCCACUCCAUAUGGCUUCUCUCCUCCACCUUCCUUGCUUGUUCUUUUCCUUUCAUCUCCCUUCUUCUUCCUUUCUUUCUUUCCUUUCUUCUCUUCUUUUAUCUUGCUCAACAUGCUUAACAUGCUCGAUAUGCCCAAUAUGCUCAACUUGCAUAAUCCUCUUGAGUUUAUUACCCAAUCAUCCGGCUGGCCCAUAGGCGCGCCCUCGACUCACAACUCAAAUCCGUCUAUGAAGAGGGAUUCGAACCACCCGAGGGUUGUCUGCGGGACCCGACAUAGGCUAUCCCUUGGGACCCCAAAUAGGCUAUCCCAAUCGUUUCAUGUGCCAAAACUCUGGAGAUCGCACUAGUUGUGCGGAGCGACCGCCACAAGCGCUGAACAGACUGUGUGAGUAUGAUCAAAUUCGUUUCCAACGAAGGUACUCGGUCAUAUGACCAACAUGCACAAGUGUUCUUUUAACACUAAGUUAUAAUGCCAGUCGUCAAGUUGUUUACUUGGUUCACAUGUCACUUGCCAUAAUGCAAUUGUCCCGACUAUACUAGUCAUAUGUCAUCCAUGCAAGAUCAAGUUAUUGUUUAACUUAUCUCUAUAGGGUUCUAUGUCACAAACUCAUUCUCAUGCACCCUAAGUUCACAUGCCAAGCUUACUAUGCCGCAAUACAAGGGAGCAUGCAAGAAUAGUAAAAGUAACAUCUAAAUACCCUAACAUGCAUAAUACUAUAUAUGCAGUAUGUUCAACAUAGAAAUACUUAGACAUAGGGAGAAGCUCAGUUGCUUCGGGAUGACACCCCCCACCUUUUAUCGCUGUCACAAGGCUAGGGUUCCGAUUUCGUGAUUUUUGGAAGCUUUCGCCGCGAGCUGUGGCAAUCUGUACCUUAACGGCUUCGUUCUUUAAUAUCUUCACGUAGCCUCGUCGUAUAUCCGAACCGACUUCGCCAACGCGUCAAAAAACCUAGCAAUUAGGUUUAUAUAUGAUCAAUUUAGAUCAAAAUCCCUCACAAGCAAAACCCCUCUUUUGAUGCCCUAAGAUGCAACCAUGCAAGAAUUCAUCAUUUGAUCUCUAAAUUCGAGCAUCAACCAUCUAUUUAGCAUCUAGGAGUUUCACUAAACCCAUUUCUAAGGCAUACAAAUCAUUACUUAGCAAUCUACCAUUAUUGCUAUCAAAGCUUACCUCUCAAACCCAAGCUCUCUUCAAGCCAAUGGUGAAGAAAAAGAAAGCUUCACCUCUAAGCAAGCUUUUCUCUACCAAACUCCACACUUUGGAGCCAAUCCUAGAGAGAGAGAGAGAGAUUUCUCUUAUGUUGGCUCAAGUAGAGAGGAAUGAGGGAAAUGAAAUAACACCCUUAUAUAUAUAUAUAUAUAUAUAUAUAUAGAGUGAGGCUACUAUGCUAUCGGAAGCACGGAGCCUUCCGUGCUUCCAGCUCGUUUUCAAUGUUGCGACUUUCGAAUCGUCGAUCGGCUCCGUUAAACUUGAUCUAGAGUAUUUGAAGUACCUAGAAAAUAAAUUUUAUUAUUUUACGAUAUCAUUUGCCUACUGAACGAAGGGGUUCAAAAUCAACGGCUGAAAAUAAAAAUCUUACAAAAUAUAAUAAUAUGACAUUAAAAUUUUAAAUCAAAGAUAUUAAUCUUGUUUUAUAUAGUAUAAAGAAUUUUCUAUCAAAAUUUCACGUGAUUUGGAUAUUUCUACACCGUUAAACUUGUAAACGGCUCACUAUGGCCAUUGAAAUUUGUUGAUUUUGAGCCCAUUCGAUCACUAGGCAAAUGAUAUCGAAAAAUAAUAAAAUUUAUUUUCUAGGUACUCCAAAUACUCUAGAUCAAGUUUAACGGAGCCGAUCGACGAUUCGAAAGUCGCAACGUCGAAAAUGAGCUGGAAGCACGGAAGGCUCCGUGCUUCCGAUAGCAUAGUAGCCUCACUCUAUAUAUAUAUAUAUAUAUAUAUAGGAGGAAACUUCACCUCCAAGUAAACUCUCCCAAAAUACUAUUCACUUCAGCAGUUUAAAACUAACAUUUUUCACCGGAGCCCUUCUAAACGUCCCUUUGAGCCCAAAUUUGACAGGCAGGCUCGGUUUUACUUAAUAAGUUCAAAGAAAUUUUAAUCUUUCAGUUUCGACCAUGUUUGGUCACCGAAAGCUGUACCGAACUGUAAUCUUUAUCAGAUAGCAGUCGGAUUUUAUUUUCUACUUUCCGAGCGUCAGAAUGGUAUGAAACUUUAAAUCUAGCCUCAUAAAAAUAAUUCUGACAUAUCUUUCAGUUUUCAUAAUUUUCUGACACUGUGCAUUUUCUACUAAUUUAUCUGCUCCGUUUCACACAGAAAAUUCUAAAUUUUCUGUUUUCGCUCCGACUUCAACACGAGUCAUUCCAGACUUAUAUUUUACUUCUAUAAGUCCAAUAAAAAUAGUAUAUCACAUUAUUUUUAUUUAUAUAUAUUUUUAUAAUAAAUUCCGACAUACUAUAUCCUACCGUAACUUCUUACUUCGAGGAGUUCGGUAUCUUACAUUCUCCCCUCCUUAAAAAGGAGUUUCGUCCUCGAAACUCAAAUUCAAUUUAAAUUCAAUCUAAUUCAACUCAAUCAAAACUCCUACCUCAACUCAUUUUUUCGAAGAGAUGAGGAUGGUGCGCCUUCAUCACUUCUUCGAGUUCCCACGUGGCUUCACGAUUGUCAUGAUUGCUCCACCGGAUCUUAACAUAGGGAAUCUCACGGUUUCGCAACUUGCGCACUUCCCAUGCAAUAAUUGACACCGGGAACUCCUCGAAACUCAGAUCUUCGUGAAGCUCUGGCAGUUCGUAUAGCAUUGCGUGAUCGGGAUUGUGAAUGUACUUGCGAAGGUUGGAAACGUGGAAUACAUUGUGAACGUCCGCGAGCUUCGGUGGCAAUGCAAGCCGAUAAGCUACCGCUCCAAUACGUUCCAACACUUCAUAAGGCCCAAUGUAUCGAGGACUCAACUUCCCUCGAACCCCAAAUCUCCUCACACCCCUCUUGGGUGAAACUUUCAGAAACACACGGUCUCCUACCGCGAAUUCUAUACUUCGACGGCGCUUGUCUGCAUAACUCUGCUGUCUAGAUUGCGCCGUGAGCAAUCUCUGACGAGCAAGGCGAACUUUCUCCUCUGCCUCCCGCAAGACAUCGGGGCCUAACACCGCACGUUCACCUACAUCACCCCAGUGUACUGGAGAUUGUCACUUCCGCCCGUAAAGGACCUCGAACGGUGCCAUCUCAAUACUGGCUUGGUAACUGUUGUUGUAGGCGAACUCGGCCAUCGGUAAGUGGUCUGCCCAACUACCCUCGUAGUCAAUGACACACGCCUGCAGCAUAUCCUCCAGAAUUUGGAUAGUUCUCUCCGACUGCCCAUCUGUCUGAGGAUGAAACGCGGUACUGAAAUCAAGCCGUGUGCCAAGUGUCUCCUGCGAGCUUUUCCAAAAGUGUGAAGUGAAUCGGGGGUCUCGAUCCGACACAAUUGACUUCGGCACCCCGUGUAACCUCACUACUUCGUCAAGAUAUACCUGCGCUAACCUAUCACCCGACCAGGUAGUGUGAAUUGGUAAAAAGUGUGCUGACUUCGUAAUGCGGUCCACAAUCACCCAGAUUGCGUCGUGGCCACCCGACGAACGGGGUAACCCAACCACGAAGUCCAUGGCUAUGUCGUCCCACUUCCACUCCGGAAUGGGCAAACUCUGUAGCUUUCCUGCUGCGUAUCGGCGUUCUGCCUUGACUUGCUGGCAUACUAGACAUUGCACCACAUAGCGUCCAAUGUCCGCCUUCAUCCCCGGCCACCAGUACUGCAUCUUUAGAUCUUGGUACAUCUUGGUGCUGCCCGGGUGAAUACUAUUGGGAGUCCGAUGUGCCUCUUGCAAAAUCAACUUGUGAACUUCUUCACUUUCCGGUACGCACCAUCGGUUUCGAAAUGGGAGUGUACCCUCGUCGUCUAUGCGGAAAUCGCCGCCAUGACCACUCUCGAUGUGACGCCCAAACUUCCCAAGGGGUCACCUAUCCUAGGACUACUCCCGUCCUAGCACACUUAACUCUCUUAAUGUGACACACUGGACCUUUGCAAAUUGCGAGGUUCGAGUGAUUGGAUGUGUCCUGAGCUUUUUCAGACUUUCUAGUGGGUCGUUGACAGUAUUCCGACCUAUGGUUCGAAUCCCGAAAAGUGAGGUUUAAAGCUUAGCACUAAAACCCGAAAAAUCGGAUUUUUGGUUAGCUCUCGGGUAGCCUUCAUUGGGCUGUGUACCGGUACAGGGUUGGUGGCUGUACCGGUACAGGGUUGAUGGUUGUACCGGUACGGGAUUGUGUACCGGUACACAGGCAGCUUCCCAGCCAAUCCGAGGCUCGGGUUUGGCAUUUUCGUGGGAUGUGUACCAGUACGUGGGCCCGUGUAUCAGUACGCAGUGGCAGUUUUUGAGCAGUUUGAACUGCAGGGACUUUUUUGUAAUUGUGGUCUUCUAUAUAGCCACCCACGCCCCUAGGACUCUCCCUUGAGCUGAGAAGGGUGGAGAACAAGGUGAGUGAAGUCCUCUCUUCCCCUCCUUUGAUUUGAUCUCCUGGAUGGAUUUUGGUGGAUUAAUUCUUGUUUUUGCCUUUUGGAGCCUUUUCCACCAUUGAUGAAGAUUGGAGCUUGGUUUUGGUGCAUGGUUGAGGGAAGAUCUUGGCACUUAGAGAGUUUAGAGCUUGGAUUGAAGCUUCUAAGAGGUAAUCUACUUGUUCUCUCCCUCUAGAUUGGAAUUUUAUUGUUGGUUUUGAGAUGAAACCCUAGAAUGAGGUUUUAGUAAUUUGAAUCUAGGGCCUUUUGAGCUUAAUUGAUUGGAUUAGAACCUUCCCUUGGGUUGGAUUGGAAGGGAUUUAGCUCUCUUUUGGAGCUUGGGAAAGAUUUUCUACUCCCUAGGUGAGAUUUUAGCCCUUUUGCCUUGAUGGUUAAUGUUUGAUCUUAUAGUUAAUCGUAAUGCCCGUGUAUCUCUUCGCUCCUUACUUUUAGGCUAUUUAGAGACUCGUGGACAACUCCGUACGGCGAAACGAGGGACUACGCGACGGUUCGGUGGGUUUGACCUAGCCACACAAUGAGAAAAUCUCAUUUGUGAAGAAUUGAGUAUCGUUAAAUGAUAAAGUAUGCAUAAUCAUGUUAGAUAUAUUUAUUAUGAAUUUUAGAAUGCUUAACAUGCCUAUGUAAUGUAUAGUAAAUUUUUGGACCUCUAUGUGAUAGAGUGCAUGUAUGUGAGAUAUAGCAUUCUAGUUGAGACUUGGAACCAUAAUUCCUAUUAUAAAAAUGAACAUUGCUUUCAUGCAUUUAACCUUUAUGCCCAAUUGUGACAUUAGGGACUUUGGAAGCCUAGAGAGGCUUGGGGACUUAGACUAUUUGAGAAAUUGGGCCAAUGUCAUAAAGAGGCGUUGGGCCCGGGCUAUAGUGAACAUUGGUAUUAAUGUCUUAAUUGGAAUAUAGCAUAUGAAUUGGGCUUGAUUAGUUGUGAUGCUUAAGUGUCAUAAAGAGGCACUAAGCCAGUGGGUGUUGGGUUAUAACAUUGUGACAGAAAGCUAGACCGUUGGGUUACUAGUAGCUAUUGUCAUGUUUGAGACAUGAGGGUUGGAUACUUGAGCCUUUGACUACGCUUGCUUGCCAUUUGUGCUCAUUCGCAUAUGCUUGUGAGGGUCGCUCCCUACUGUUUGAAGUGAAAAGAAAAAAAAAAAUUCUAAUCAUAAUCGAAACCGAUUAGAUUCAGACUCAAACAAUUUUGAUAGGUCUCAUGUUGACCAAAAAAUUUUGGGGCCAAUAAUUAUAAUUUAAAAUCCACAAUAGACCCAUUCAUAAAUGUGAAUUAAUGGGCCUCAUGAAAGCCCUUUAAAAUUUUAGGCCUAUACAAUAAUUCGGGCCUCAUCUUAGCCCAAUGAAUAAUUGUGCCCAACAAGUUUCAUCAAAGUGGGCCCAAUAUCAGCCCAAUUCAUAGGAUCACUGCCCACAUUUUCACCCACGUUUGAAAAUUCAAUUUCAAAUAUCAUAUUCAAAUUCGAUUUUAAAUUUUUAAACCCCAGAAAAUAUCUGUUAUCCUAAUAACCCUAUUCGAAAUUCGAUUUCGAACUUCGAACCACCUCCCAAAAUAUCUCUCAACCAACAUUCAUUCGAAUUUUGAAUACUUAUCCAUCCCACAACCCAUUCAAAAUUCAAUUUUGAAUUUCCAAUCCCCAACCAACAUCCAUUCGAAUUUUGAAUACCUAACCACCCAACAACCGAUUCAAAAUUCGAUUUCGAAUUUUGAAUCCCUAACUGACUCCCCAAAAUAUCCUUCAACCAUCCAACAACCCAUUCAAAAUUCGAUUUCGAAUUUCGAAUCCCUAACCGACUCACCAAAAUAUCCUUCAACUAUCCAACAACCCAUUCAAAAUUCAAUUUCGAAUUUCGAAUUUCCAAUCAAUUCCCAAAAUAUCCUCCAACAAUCCAUUCAAAAUUCGAUUUCGAAUUUCGAAUCCCUAACCAAUUCCCAAAAUAUCCUCCAACAACCCAUUCAAAAUUCGAUUUCGAAUUUCGAAUUCCCAACCAAUUCCCAAAUAUCCUCCAACAACCCAUUCAAAAUUCGAAUUUCGAAUUUUGAAUUCCAACCAAUUUCCAAAAUACCCUCCAACCAUCCAACAACCCAUUCAAAAUUCGAUUUCGAAUUUCGAAUUCCCAACAAAAUCCCAAAUAUCUUUCAACCAACCACAACAACCUAUUCAAAAUUCAAAUUCGAAUUUCGAAUCCCUCGAAAUAUCUCUCACCACCCCUCCCAUUAUAAAUACGAGAACCGAAAUCAAACUCGGAGAGGAUUUUUUACGGAGACGAUAGAUAAAAAAAAAGAGAUAGAUUGCUACACACAUUCCCACGUACAAAAUAUUCAAAGAAUAAGAGAUCGCCGAGCCGCGGAAAGGAGGAGAGAUCGUCGAGCCGCAGAAAGGAGGAGAGAUCACUCGAGCCGCUGAAAGGAUGAGAGAUCGCUGAGCCGCAGAAAGAAGGAGAAAUCGUUGAGCUGCUUCAUCCAAUCCAUCAUUUCAUCAACAGGUAAAAAAAAAAAGAAAGAGAAAGAAAAAUGAAGAAGAAAAAAAAGAAAACAUAAAAAGAAAAAAAAAAGAAAAAAAAAAGAUCUCUCUUCUUCUCCCCUCUAUUUUUUUCUUUUUUUUAGGUUCUGCGAUUGUAGCCAUCCAUACCAUCUAGAUGGCUUCGGUGGGAGAGUGGAGGGGAAUCUUCGAUUCUCCGUUUCUUCGGACCUCUCAAUACCCUAUCCGAAGUCGUUGAUGACGGAAUGGGUGAUCUACAUUGCCGCGACCAUCAUCAACAUAUUUGGUUUGAUACUUUCGAAAGAAGAGGGGAGGGGAAUCUUUGAUUCCCGGUUUCUUCGGACCCUUCAACAUUUCUUUUGAAAAUGUCAAAUCAAAUUUGCCGGCCGAACAGAUUCGCGCCACCGUCAUCAACUUCACCGAUGACAUCUACGACAUCGCCGGUUUGAUACUUUUGAAAGAAGAGGGGAGGGGGAUCUUUGAUUCUCCGUUUCUUCGGACCCUUCAAUAUUUCUUCGAAAAUGUCAAAUCAAAUCCGACGGCCAAACAAAUCUGCGCCACCGUCAUCAACUUCACCGACAACAUCUACGACAUCGCCGGUUUGAUACUUUCGAAAGAAGAGGGGAGGCGGAUCUUUGAUUUCCCAUUUCUUCGGACCCUUCAACAUUUCUUCGAAAUGUCAAAUCAAAUCCGAUGGCCGAACAGAUCCACGCCAUCGUCGUCAACUUCGUCGACGUCAUCUGCAGUAUCGCAAGAAGAGGGGAGGGAAAUCUUUGAUUCCCCGUUUCUUCGGACCCCAAAUCAAAAUUAAAACGGGGAUUUCUUCGAACCCCAAAUCAGAAUCGAAAGGGGAUUUCUUCAGACCCCAAAUCAAGAUUAAAACGGGAAUGUCUUCGGACCCCAAAUCAAGAUUAAACGGAGAUUUCUUCUGACCUCAAAUCAAAUCAAAUCCAAUUGGAGAAUCAAACGGGGAUUUCUUCGGACCCCAAAUCAAAUCCAAUUGGAGAAUCAAACGGAGAUUUCUUCGGACCCCAAAUCAAGAUUAAAUGGGGAUUUCUUCGGACCCCAAAUCAAAUCAAAUCUAAAUUUGAGAAUCAAACGGGGAUUUCUUCGGACCCCAAAUCAAAUCCAAUUGGAGAAUCAAACGGGGAUUUCUUCGGACCCCAAAUCAAAAUGAAAAAUCAAAUCCAAAUUAGAAAAUCAAAUGGGGAUUUCUUCGGACCCCGAACCAAAUUGGAAAAUCAAAUCUAAAUUGGAGAAUCAAACAGGAAUUUCUUCGGACCCCAAAUCAAAUUCAAUUGGAGAAUCAAACGGGCAUUUCUUCGGACCCCAAAUCAAAUUGGAAAAUCAAAUCCAAAUUGGAGAAUCAAACGGGGAUUUCUUCGGACUCCAAAUUAAAUCCAAUUGGAGAAUCAAACGGGGAUUUCUUCGGAUCCCAAAUCACAAAUCUAACGGGGAUAUCUUCAGACCCCAAAUCAAAUUGAAAAAUUAAAAUGGGGAUUUCUUCGGACCCCAAAUCCAAAUCAAGAUUAAACGGGGAUUUCUUCGGACCCAAAAUCAAACCCAAUUGGAGAAUCAAACGGGGAUUUCUUCGGACCCCAAAUCAAAUUGGAAAAUCAAAUCCAAAUUGGAGAAUCAAACGGGGAUUUCUUCGGACCCCAAAUCGAAUCCAAUUGGAGAAUCAAACGGGGAUUUCUUCGGACCCCAAAUUAAAUCCAAUUGGAGAAUCAAACGGGGAUUUCUUCGGAUCCCAAAUCAAAAAUCAAACGGGGAUAUCUUCGGACCCCAAAUCAAAUUGAAAAAUUAAAUGGGAAUUUCUUCGGACCUCAAAUCCAAAUCGAGAUCAAAAGAGGAUUUCUUCGGACCCCAAAUCAAACCAAAAUCAAAAAGGGAUUUCUUCGGAUCCAAAUCAAGAUGCAAAAACUAAAAGAGGAUUGCCUCGAACCCGAAAUAGAAUUGAAAAGAGAACCAAACCAAAUUCGAAUCAAGUCCACAUACAAACCAAAUCCGAAUCAAGUCCACAUACAAACCAAAUCCGAAUCAAGUCCACAUACAAACCAAAUCCAAAUCAAGUCCACAAAUAAAGCCCAAAACCAAAACCCAAAUAAAAUCCGAACCCAAAUCCAAACCAAAUCAAAUCCAAAUCCAAAACCAAACACAGUCCACAAACAAACCUAAACCCAAAACCCAAAUAAACCCAAACCCAAAACCCAAAUUAAAUCCGAACCCAAACCCAAAUCAAGUCCACAUCCAAACCUAACCCAAACCAAGUCCACAUAAAGAACCCAAACCCAUUCCACAAAUAAAAUCCAAACCCAACCCAAACCAAGUCUACAAAUAAAACCAAAAUCCAAACCGAAACCCAAACCAAACCAAAUCAAACCCAAACCCAACCCAAAUCAAGUCCACAAUCCAAAUCCAAACCCAAAACCCAAAUCCAACUUCCAACUUAGGCUCAUGAACGUAAACCAUACCUAAGUUCGUGAACCAAAUCCCAAAUCCUAUACCCAAGUUCAUGAAUCAAGAACCAAAACUCAUAAACCAAGUUCAUGAACCACGAACCAAAUCCAUGAACCUCACCUAAGUUCGUGAACCAAACACCACGGAUCAUAACCCAAGUUCAUGAAUCAAGGCCUAUGAACCAAAAUAAACCAAGUUCAUUAAACCAUAUCCAAUAUACCCAACUUUAUAAACCAUAAACCAAGUUCAUGAAUCAUGAAUCAAGUCCACAAACCAAGAUUCAUGAGCCAAGUUCAUAAACCUCACCCGUGAACCAUAUCCAAGUUCAUGAACCAUAUCCAAUAUACCCAACUUCAUAAACCAUAAACCAAGUUCAUGAAUCAUGAAUCAAGUCCAUAAAUCAAGAUUCAUACACCAAACCUCAUACACCAUAUCCAAGCUCAUGAACCCGAUCCACAUACUCAACCUCAUGAGUCAUGAACCAAAUCUCAUAGACCAUACAACCAUACACCAAGUUCAUGAACCAUAAACAUACACCAAGUUCAUGACUCAAAUCUCAUGAACCAAAUCCCAUACACCAAACCUCAUAAAUUAAACUCAUAACCAUACACCAAGUUCAUGACUCAAAUCUCAUGAACCAUGUACAAAGUUCAUGAACCAUAACCAAACCUCAUGAACCAUGUACCAAGUUUAUAAAUCAUAAACCAAACCUCAUGAACCAUGUACCAAGUUCAUGAAUCAUAAACCAAACCUCAUGAACCAUACACCAAGUUCAUGAAUCAUAAACCAAACCCCAUGAACCAUACACCAAGUUCAUGAAUCAUAAACCAAACCCCAUGAACCAUACACCAAGUUCAUGAAUCAUAAACCAAACCCCAUAAACCAUACACCAAAUUCAUGAACCAUGAACCAAAUCCAUAAACCAAGUCCAUAAACCUCAUGAACCAUAAACCAAGUUCAUGAAUCAUGAACCAUGAACCAAGUUCAUAAACCUCAUCCAUGAACCAUAUCCAAGUUCAUGAAUCAUACACCAUGAACCAUAAACCAUACACCAUAAACCAUAAACCAAGAUCAUAUAACCAACCUCAUGACCCAUACACCAAGUUCAUGAACCAUACCUUAUGAACCCAUGAACCAUACACCAAGUUUAUAAACCUUAUCCAUGAACCAUAUUCAAGUUCAUGAACCAAAUCCCUUACACCAAACCUCAUGAACCAUAAAUCACAACCCAAGCCCAUGGACCAAAUCCCAUGGACCAUAUACCCAACCUCAUGAACCAUGUCCAAAUCUUAUGAACCAAUACCCAAAUAUCAUGAACUAAUACCAAAAUCUCAUGCCCAAAGUUCAUCAUGAACUUUUUCUUUACUCUAGUACAUAUACCUAGAGUAAAAAUCGAAUAUCGACUACCCCUAAUACAUAUACUUAGGGCUAAGUCAAUCGCCUUAGUACAUAUACUAAGGCAAAACAUCUCCAAACCGACAGAGUUCUAAAUUAUGUCAAAUGAUAUCAAGUUUAUUCGAACUCUAACACAUAUACUUAGAGUUCAUCCGACUAACCCUAAUAUAUACCCUCAGGGUCUGGUCAACCUUUUGCUCUAGCACAUAUACCUAGAGUGGAAGUCAAACCAAGCUCAACUAGUCCUAACCCAUAUACUCAAGGUCUAGUUAGCCUUUUGCUCUAGCAUAUCUACCUAGAGCGAAAUUCAUACCUGAUCGAGCUCUAAUACAUAUACUUAGAGCUCAUAAAAUCAAAUCCGACGAAGCCUAACAUAACACCUCAGGGCUUAGUCAGAUCCUCACUUUAGCACAUAUAACUAGAGUGAAAAAUAUAUUAAACUCGGUUAAUCCUGAUAUAUAUACUCAGAAAUUAUCCACUCUUAGGUAAUAUCAAAUCCGACCUACAUCAAUACAUAUACUUGGGGUUUGGUCACUCUAAGACAUAUACUUAGAGCCAAUUAGACUCUAAUACAUGGAGUUUAAUAUCGACUACGUCUUAACACAUAUACUUAGGACCUAGUCAAUUCCAAAUUCAACUGAAUCCUAAUACAUAUACUUAGGAUUCAAUAAAUCAAGACACGAUUCAUCUCAUCCCAUCUAUAAAGGUCUCUUAAUCGAAGGUGCCCCAAUCAACAGGGGAUAAUUAACAAUAGAUGCUUGCAUCUAUUGGAAGCCAUGGACCUGCGAUACCUGAUACCCAUAUACAUAUAAAUAUCAAUCUGAAUCAUGAAUACUACCCCACGGCGAAAUCCAUCGACCGUGCGAGGUGCGUCAUUCGUGGUGGCUGACACCUACAAGCCGGCACUCCGGAGUUAGCCUACGCGACCUAUGUUUGCACGUGCGGUAUUGAGAAGCCUACGGGGUCGAGUGGGACAGACACAUUCCAAGAGCAGGAAUGUUGGGCUACCACAUGCACUUAGGCGGCACAAGCUGGACUACCUUGGGUAGGUCCUUAAUUGGAAAUGGAAUUCAACACGGCGUUGAGUGUGUUAUAAUCACUACUAGAUAGAGAGUAGUAGUUGGAUUACUUGGACUUGCUUCUAGCAUAGUUUUGGACACUUGAGUAUACAUACAUACAUAUAGUGUGCUAGGAGAUGUUGCUUAUUGCAUUCAUAUAUACAUUGUUGUCAUGAUAAAGUAUGAUCUUCAUAACUUCGUAGAGUAAACCGUGACUUUUACUUGUGGUCAUGUAGAGACAUAUUGUUUAUGACAAAGUAAAGGUGCAUCAUUUUAACACCAUGUUUGAUUGCAAUAUAGUAGCUUAGCAUUUUAGUUGUGCUUUCUUAAAUGCAAUUUAUUCAUUAUUAUUGCUCUCUUUUUUACUUACCCUUUCUUUGGGGCCUAGUGGUGCAUUGAGCUGAGGUCAGUAAUUGCCCACUGGAAACUAUAAAUUAUAGUUCUCACGCCUUCUGUUUUAUGUUUUCUUUCAGAGCCUUCCACGCCGGGAGAGGCUAGGGACCGUGGGAAGGGAGUUGCUUCGAGCUAGCUCUUCAGCGAGUGACGAGUAGUCACGCCCCAGGACCGGCAGAGGCCCUCCCGGUAGCGUGCCCAGACCCGCCAUAUGUCCACACAUAUAAGGCGUCUACAACAACAGCAAAAAAUAAAACCAAGAGUAAUAUACAUCUAGAGAUAUCAGAGCACAGAUAGAUCUAUAGUCUAUAACAAGAUAAAAGAAGUAUACUAAAACAAUAAGUAAGAGUAAAACAUAAAGUAAUACAAUAUCAUCUCCCAAAAUAGUACACAAGGGGUGGUCUCUAGUACACUGGUACAGCUCUCAACCUCUCCAAAAAUAAAAACAUCGAGAGGUAGACUACCUAUCCACUCGUCCAUCGCAGAAGAGCUAGCUCGAAGCAACGCCCUUUCCACGGUCCCUAGCCUCUCCCGGCAUAGAAGGCUCUAAAAGAAAACAUAAAGCAGAGGGCGUGAGAACUAUAAUUUAUAGUUCCCAGUGGGCAAUUACUGACCUCAGCUCAAUGCACCACUAGGCCCCAAAAGAAAAGGUAAGUCAACAAGGCAAUAGUAAUGAAAUAAUUGCAUUAUGAAAGCGUAAAUAAUUGCUAAGCUACUAUAUCACAAGAAAACAUGAUGUCGAAAGUGUGUACAUCUACUUUAUCCCAAUGAAGUAAGUCCAACAUGACUAAUAUGUCCAAACAUAACGAAUAGGUAGGCAACAUGAUCCACAAUGUCAAUGUAUGAUGAAUAUGCUCUAUCAUGGUAGCAAGUAUACUAUAAUGCAAUAGAUAAACUAUCGAGUAUAUCAUGUGUCUCAACAAUAUGCUAUAUGCAUGUCAUAGUAAUCCAACUACUAAUCCUAUCUAGUAGUGAUUAUCAUCUCUCGAUCAAAUGUCAUUAUUUCCAUCAUGUUCUAGGACCCACAUAUUGUAGUCCAGCUUGUGCCACCUAAGUGUCGGUGGUAGCUCCAGCAUCCCCACUCUAGGAAUGAGUCUGUCCCUCCCGACCCCGUAGAUUUCUCGAUACCGCACGAGCGAACAUAAGUCGCGUAGGCCAACUCUGGAGUGCCGGCUUGUAGGGAGCGACCCUCACAAGCAUGUGUAAAUGAGCACAAAUGGCAAGCAAGCGUAAUCAUCGUCUCAAGUACCCAAUCAUCAUGUCUCUAACAUGGUAAUAGUCACUAGCAUCUCAAAGAUCUAGCUCUAGGUCACAAUGUGAAGUUCCAAUCAUUCACUAGGUCUAGUGCCCUUUUAUGACACUUAGACAUUUCGAUGUACAAACAUAUUCCAAUUCUCUCAAUGGCCCUAUCCACUAGGUUCACACACAACCCGAGCUCAAUGCCGCUUUAUGACAUUAGCUCACAAUUCCACAUGUCAAUCUUGUCAUAUGCCUCUUUAUGGCUCACUAAGAACCUCUAUGUCUCAAAUAGGAAUAGCUCAAAAUGCAUGAAGGUGAAUGCUUAUUGCCACAAUGGGAAGUAUGAUUUCAAGUCCCAAUAGGAUGCCAAUCAUGUACAAACCCCACAAAGUAGCCCUCUACUAUAUGGGGGCCCAAAAUUUCUUAUACAUAAUAUAGGCAUGUUAAGCAUCCUAAAAUUCACAUUAAAUACAUUUAUCAUGGAAAUGCAUGCAUUUUUACUCUACAAGCAUAAAACAUGGGAUAUGAGAAUUUCUCAUAUGCUAGGCUAGGUCAAACCCACCGAACCGUCACAGUGUCCUUCGUUUCGCCGAAAGAAGUUGUCCACGAGUCUCAAAAUACUCUAAAAGUGAUCAAUGAAGGGAUACAUAAGCAUUACGAGCAACUCUAGGCUCAAACAUUAACAAUCACAAAAUAGGGCAAAAACUCACCUAGGGAGUAGAAAAUCAUUCUCAAGCUCCAAGAGAAGGCUAAAUCCCUUCCAAUCCAACCAAAUGGAAGGUUCUAAACUAAGUAAUCUAGCCUCAAAAGCCCUAGAUCAAAAAGCCCCAAAAUCAACUCUAAAAUCCCAUUCUAGGGUUCCAUCUACUAAAAAACUUCAAAUUAUGAAAUCUUGGAGAAAGAACAAGUUGCUUACCUCCAAGAAGCUUCAAUCUAGGUUCAAAACCCUCUAGGUUCCAAGAUCUUUCCUCAACAAUGCUCCAAAUCCAAGCUCCAAGCCACCAAAAGUAAGAAGAGAGGGUGUGGGUGAAGUUCCAAGCCUCCAACAAGCUCUCUCCUUCUUCUUCUUCCUCUCCUUCUUCUUCUUCUCUCUCUAGGAGCAAAGGGAAUGGUGGAAUGAGGGAGAAGAGAAGAAGAAGUAGCCAUAUAUGCCCUCUAGUGUAACAAAUCCAAAGAGGCCCCUCAAAAACCCAAUAUUGCAUCAGGCCGGUCUGGGCAAUUUUCGCCCAGAGGGACCGGUCUCUCCCCACCAGGGACCGGUCUCUCGUGUCGAACCCGAGAAACCAUCGUUCGGGAACCGGUCUCUCCCCGCGCGGGACCGGUCUCUUACUGCGAAGACGCGCUCGGGGACCGGUGUAACACACUGGACCUUUGCAAAUAGUGAGGUCGAGUGUUUGGUUUUUGUUCCGAGCUUUUCCACAUUUUGUGGGAAGUCGUUGACAGUGUUCCGACCUAUGGUUCGAGUCCCGAGAAUUGUGGUUAAAAACCUUGCACCAAAAUUCAAAAAGUCGGAUUUUUGGUUAGCUCUCGGGUAGCCCUCAGAGGGCUGUGUACCGGUACAUGCUUGAUGGCUGUACUGGUACAGGGUUGAUGGUUGUACCGGUACAGCCACCGGCUUGUACCGGUACAGGGCCGCUGAACCCUGCCAACCCGAGGCUCGGGUUGAGAUUUUCGCAAGGCUUGUACCGGUACAGGAACCCGUGUACCGGUACAAGGAGGCUGAUUUCAUGCAGUUUGUUCUGCAGGGGCUUAUUUGCGAUUGUGGGCUUCUUAUAACAGCACCCACGCCCCAUAGGUCUUCUCUUGAGCUUGGAACAGCAAGAGAGAAGGUAGGAGAGCCCUCCUCUCCAUCUCUUUCAUUUCCUUUGGUUUUGGUUUGCGCUUUUGGUGAUUAAACACCCUCUUUUGCUCUCUUUUGCUUCUUUGGAGGCUUCUUCACCAUUGGAGCUUGGACUUGAGGCUUGGUGAGGGUGGAUCCUUGAAGUUUGAGAACUUUGAACUUGGAUUGAAGCUUCUUAGAGGUUGGUAGCCCUUUCUUUCCCUUUAGAUUUUGGAUUUGAGGUUUUCUUUGAGAUGAAACCCUAGAUUGUAAACUUAGGGUUGUUUUUGGGUGUUUUUGAUUUAGGGCUUUUGAGGCUCAAUCUCUUGGAUUAGAACCUUCCCUUAGGUUGGUUUGGGAGGGUUCAAGCUCUCAUUUGGAGCUUGUGAGGAGAUUGUCGCUCUUGAGGUGAGUUUUGACCCUUUUGCUAGAUGGUUAAUGAUCGAGCUAUAGGCUCUUCGUUUCGUUUGGGUAACCCUACUUUUGAUGCUUCUAGGGUACUAGGAAGCUCAUGGAUCACUUCGUUCGGCGAAACAAAGAAGUCGAUUUUGGUGGGUUUGGCUUCGUGGAAAAGGAGCAAAAUGGCCCCUAUGUUCUCUAUACUUGUUGUAAAGUAUUUUUAAAUGCAUUUCAAUGCUAAUUGGAAUUUAUGUGAAUUUUAGAACACUUAAAAUGCAUGCCUUAUGUGUAAGUUAAAUUUCACUCUAUAUAGUAAGCAAUCAGGGUUAUUUUCAUGCAUGUGAGGAGUGUUCAUGUGGACGAAUGGGAUUCUCGUCUAGUAUGCUAAAUUAGCUCAUAUUCGUGUAUUGGAAACAUUAUACUAUGUUUGGACUUAGUAGCAUAAAGUGUCAUCAAGAGGAACUUGAACUAGUAAACUAUGAAACUGCAACAUAGAGACAUAAUAUUAGGCCAUUGUAUAUCUGCUAUAUAUUCCAUGUUAGAGACAUGAUGACAUAGAGAUAGGCUUUUGGGACAUUCGAUACAUUCCAUGUUAUUAGACAUGAGGACUUGGUACUUGUGACAGGACAUAUGACUACUUGCCAUUGUGCUCAUUCGCACAUGCUUGCCGGAGAUAGCCAUCGCAAUUCAUAUUCGCCGUGCGGGAUUGGGCGCCGAAGUAGAUUGCCGUGGGCCAGGCUCAUUCCUAGGGUGGGGAUGAUGACUACCACGGGGCCAUUAAGCUCGGCACCGGCCAGACAGCCUACGGGUGGGUCUCAGGGCCAUAGACAGCCUUCGGGUGGGUCUCUUUAGAUUUUGAUUUUGGGUACUUCACUAAGACAUGUGGACAGAUGAUGACUUUGUAUAUUGACGGGACAUUGGCUAGAAUAGUAAACAAUGACAUCUUUACUAUUUGCAUUGUGGACAUCGUGAGGGUUGCAUAUCUAUGCUUAUUCAUGUUAUACACAUCCAUGUACAUUCCUGUUAUAGUUGCUAUAUUACUUAUGCAAAUCAUGCUAAGUAGAGACAUUAUGCUAUAGCGAGUUACAUUUUACUUCUCUUUUGCCUUAUUAUAUUUUGUCACUGACCUCUUCCUGGUAGCUUUUGGGCCUCGUGGCGCAGUUCACUGAAGUCAGUAAUUGCCCACUGUGAACUAUUUUUAAUAGUUCUCACGCCCUCUUUUUCGUGGUUUCUUUCAGAGCCUUCUGCACCGGCUGAGGCACGGGAUCGCUAUAAGGGGAUCGCAUAGCUAGCUAGCGAGGAGCGGUUCUUUGCCUAGGUGGUUUACUCUUUCUUUUUGUAUUUGAGAGAGUAAGAGAUUUUUUAUCCAUGUAUAGAGACAACCUAUGUAUCUACUAUUAGCACUUGUAUUUGGGAUUUCCUUUGUAUUACUUUAUGCUUUUAUUAGUGGAUUCCAGCUUUAUGUUCCUUUCUCUAUUGUAGAACUUAGUAUUAUAUCAUACUCUGAUACCCUAGAUGUCUUUUAUUAUUGCUUUAAUUAUCGUUGUUUUAGACGCCUUAUAUGUUUUAGACGUAUGGCGGGUCUGGGCACAUGCCGGGCGGGCUUCCGCUGGGUCCCAGGGCGUGACAACCGGUCUUGCCCGCUAGGGACUGGUUGCCUCAGGGCUGCCACAACACUGCUCACUGGGGGACCGGUCUCUCCUAUCAGGGACCGGUCCCCGAGAGUAAAAACUCUCAGGACUCAUCCAGAACUCAAGUUUUCGGACUUUUUGGAUCGAAAAAUAUUCCACGACCUUCCACCAAGUGUGGAAAAGCUCGAAACACAACCAAUCACUCGAACCUCGCAAUUUGCACAGGUCCAGUGUUUUACAAUCACCCAUCCUAAAAGGAGUUUCGUCUGCGAAACUCAAAAGUAAAGUACCUCAAGCCUCCAUCUGAAAAAGAUGGGGAUAGUGCUCUCGCAGUGCGCUCUCCAACUCCCAAGUGGCCUCGCGCUCGUCGUGGUUGCUCAAAAGCACCUUCAGGUAGGGGAUCUCACGGUUCCGCAGCCUCUUUACUUCGCGAGCCAAAAUCCUAAAAGGUUGCUCUUCAAAGCUCAAAUCAUCCCUCAGCUCUAAAGGUGUCGCGUCCAAUACGUGAGCCGGAUCAUGGAUGUACUUCCGAAGGACCGAUACAUGAAAAACAUUGUGUACACCCGAUAGGUUCGGAGGUAACACAAGUCGAUACGCUACCGGGCCUACACGCUCCAAAACCUCAUACGGUCCGAUGUAUCGGGGGCUCAGCUUACCCCGAAUUUUAAAUCUUCUAAUUCCUCUGGUCGGCGAGACUUUCAAGAAGGCAUGGUCACCAACCUGGAACUCCAAGUCUCAUCGAUCUUUUGCCUACUCUGGGCUGUUAAUAGUCUCUCCCGAGCAAUGCGAACCUUGUCCUCUGCUUCCUGGAGCACAUCUGGGCCUAAAGCCAAUCUCUCGCCAACUUCGCACCAAUAAAGUGGCGAUCUACACUUCCGUCCAUAGAGUGCCUCGAAAGGUGCCAUCUUGAUGCUUGCUUGAUAAUUAUUGUUAUAAGCAAACUCUGCCAUCAGUAGAUGCUGCGACCAUCCUCCCUAGAAGUCAAUCACACAGGCUCGAAGCAUGUCCUUGAGAGUCUGUAUAGUACGCUCCGACUGCCCAUCACUCUGGGGGUGGAAAGUGGUGCUGAAAUCCAAGCGCGUACCUAAAGCAUCCUGUAAGCUCCUCCAAAAGUGGGAUACAAAAUGGGGAUCUCGAUCUGAUACUAUAGAAGUAGGUACCCCGUGCAAUCGCACGAUCUCAUCCAAAUAAACCUGUGCGAGUCUUUCACCAGUCCAAGUAGUGUGGAUAGGUAUGAAAUGGGCCGAUUUCGUCAGCCUAUCCACGAUCACCCAAAUAGCGUCAUGCCCGGCCUGUGAGCGAGGCAAUCCCAUCACGAAGUCCACGGUGAUCUUCUCCCACUUCCACACUGGAAUCGGUAGGCUCUGCAACUUUCCCGCAGGAACUCGGUGCUCAGCUUUCACCCGUUGGCAAGUUAAGCAUCUAGCAACAAACUCACCAACAUCCUUCUUCACCCGGGCCACUAGUAAAGCAACCUCAAUUCCUUGUACAUCUUGGUGUCUCCCGGAUGUAUAGCAUACGGUGCUCGGUGCGCUUCUUGAAGAAUAUCCUCUUUAUUGCCCAAGUCCGCCGGUAACACAAAGUCGUCCGCGGAAACGCAUCAAUCCAUCACUGUCUAAAGUGAAGUCACCGGUGCAACCAUCAACCAUCUUAGCUCGAAUCUUUUGCAACUCCACAUCGGAGACCUGCUUUUCUUUAAUUCUUUCCACAAGUAUAGGUUGCACCACCAAAGACAUCAGUCUCAAAGGUGUAUCAGGAGCCACCACCUCCAACUCCAACCGCUUCAUCUGCUCGAUCAACGGCGGUCGAGUAACCACGAGCAUCGCUAAGUUUUCCAUCGAUUUCCUGCUUAGCGCAUCCGCCACCACGUUAGCCUUACCCGGGUGGUAAAGUAUAGUCAAGUCAUAAUCCUUGAGUAGCUCCAGCCAUCUGCGCUGCCUCAAGUUCAACUCCUUCUGAGUGAAUAAAUACUUUAAACUCUUGUGUUCCGUAUAUACUUCGCAUCGCUCGCCGUACAGAUAAUCGCGCCAUAGCUUCAAUGCAAAGACCACGGCCGCCAAUUCCAAGUCAUGAGUAGGGUAGUUUCUUUCAUAGUCCUUCAACUGGCGAGAUGCAUACGCGAUCACUUUCCCGUCCUGCAUCAAGACACAACCCAAUCCAUUAAAGAAAGCAUCACUGUAAAUCACAUACCCUGCUCCAGCAGUUGGCAAGGUUAGGAUCGGGGCGGUCGUCAAUCUCUGCUUCAACUCUUGGAAGCUCCAUUCACACACAUCAUUCCAAAUGAACUUGGUGCCCUUAUGCGUGAGCCUCGUGAUGGGAAUAGAUAACCUCGCAAAUCUCUCAACAAACCGUCGAUAGUAGCCGGCCAAACCAAGAAAGCUCCGAAUCUCUGUGACACUCGUCGGCCUUGCCCAAUCCUUGAUAGCUUCAAUUUUCCUAGCAUCCACGGCUAUACCUGAUCCGAAAAUCAAAUGGCCCAGAAACGCCACCUCUCUAAGCCAAAACUCACACUUCUUCAAUUUGGCGUAGAGCUUCUUUUCCCGAAGCACUUGAAGUACAAGUCUCAAGUGUUCCUCGUGAUCCGCAUCACUUCGGGAAUAGACCAAAAUGUCGUCGGUGAACACCACGACAAACCUAUCUAGAUAAGGUUUGAAAACACGGUUCAUUAAAUCCAUAAAAGUUGCCGGGGCAUUAGUAAGCCCAAACGGCAUAACGGUAAACUCAUAUUGUCCGUACCGUGUUCUAAAAGCCGUUUUCGACACAUCCUCAGGCUUGAUCUUCAAUUGGUGGUAUCCCGACUGCAAGUCGAUCUUGGAAUACACACUCGAUCCCUGGAGCUGAUCAAACAAAUCAUCAAUCCUCGGUAAAGGAUACUUGUUCUUGAUCGUGACUUUGUUGAGUUCACGAUAAUCAACGCACAAGCGAAGCGAUCCAUUCUUCUUCUUGACAAAUAGGACCGGUGCUCCCCAAGGUGACACACUCGGUCGCACAAAACCCUUGUCCAGAAGGUCUUGCAACUGUGCCUUUAGCUCCUUCAACUCCGGCGGUGCCAUCCUAUAGGGCGCCUUUGAGAUUGGGGUAGUCCCGGGAACGAGAUCUACUACAAACUCAAUCUCCCUAUCAGGUGGCAUGCCUGGAAGCUCUGCUGGAAACAUAUCUCCAAACUCCCGCACGACGGGAAUAUCCUCAAUCCUGGGGGCAUCAUCGUCACCCCUCAACACAAUCGUAGCCAAGUAGGCCACACAGCCUCUACUAAUCAACUGUCUAGCUCGAGAGGAGCUAAUCGUCAUCGCAAACAACGAACUCUGGCAUCCUCAAUACACAACCUCCGCCUGCCCCGGCUCUCUAAACGUCACAGUUCGGUUCUUACAAUCAAUAGUGGCGUAGUACUUGGUCAACCAAUCAUGCCCAAAACUACAUCAAACUCUCCAAGUUUAUGCAAAGCUAGCAAGUCCACGGGCAUGAUCUAAUCUCCAAUCCGGACCGGGCAACUGGGGCAAAACUCUCGAAUGUCUAAAGUGUGAUCGGGUACCACGACUCGUCCCGGAUGCAACAAGAAUACAAGUGGGAUGCCAUGCAACUCGGCAAACAGCCGGUCUAUGAAUGAAUGCGAUGCACCGGUAUCAAAUAAUGCUCUAACUCAAAUACCAUAAAGUAAAAUGAUACCUGAGACCACAUUCUCGGCUGCCGCCGCCUCCUCAGUCUGGGACGCGUACAUGCGCCCACUCGGGGCCUGUCGUGACCCCUCUGCCUGCCGCUGCACUGGCGGCCGUCCAGUCUGGUGAUGCACAGAAGGUGUCCCCUUGCUGGGACCCGAUAAAGUUGGUGCAGAUGCCGAAGAUGGCGCUGGGGCUGGACCUCUCGGGCAGUCUGACUGGAAGUGGCCCUCCUGGCCACACAGGUAGCACCUGCCCCGACUGCGUGAACACUACUGUGAAAAAUGGGGACCACCACAGAUCACGCAGCGCGGAGCCUGGCGUCGAUCAGAUCCUCCUCGCUGAGUAGACUGGCCACGUCCUCGCGACUGGGACCGGUGUCGAGGAUGUCUCGGCGGCCUCCCUGAGUGCGCCUGACUCGCACCCUCAGCCGCAGGCCUUUUGCCUUUACCCUUAUCCAAGGCCUCUCGCCGCUGCUGCAGAUCCGCUGCUUCACUCUCCACGAUGAGUGCGCGGUUCACAACCUCCCGGUAGUUCUGGAGGUUGGAAGACUGAACAAAUCAGAAGAUCGAAGGCCGCAAUCCCCGCUCAAAGAUGCGGGCCUUGUCCUCGUCGUCCCGAACAACGAAGGGCACGCAAUGAAGAAGCCGGGAGAACUCUCUCUCGUACUCAGCCACCGUCCAGUCCCCCUGGCGCAGGUUGCGCAGAUCCUGCUCCAUCUUUCUCUUAACACUGUUAGGGAAGUAAUGCUCCAGUAGGAGUUCCUUGAACCUUCUCUAAGUAAUCGCCGUCAGAUCCGUGCUGGGGUUGUCCUGGAUGUCCAACCACCAUCUGUAGGCCUCGCCGUCCAAAUGAUGUGUGGCGAGCCACACUCUAUCCCUCUCUUCGACGAAGGUAUUCCGAAAUAGCUUCUCCAUGUGUAUAAGCCAUUUCUCUACAAUCCAGCGGUCCACGUUCUCCCCGUCAAAUGUCCGGGGGUUGCAUCUCCUGAACUCACCAAGGCGCUCCAUGAGCCGAUCCCGCUCGGCUCCCUCAACCAUCACGGGGAAAACCGCCCCAGCUACAGAUGCUCCCGCUGGCGGUGCCGCAAUAUCCUCUCCCCGAGGUGCCGCCGCUGGUGCCGUCCUAGAAGCGUCGAGUGCAGGGGACGACACCCUCGGCGCAACCACCUCCACUGGUGCGGGUGGUGUAGGGAUCUGAGUCUCCCUGGCCGCCGUCUGCUGCAGCAGAAGGUCCUCCAAGCUCUUCAUCCGCACCUCCUGUCGAAGCGCCGUUUCCGCCUAUUGCGUCACCAAAUCAAUGAGGGUUGCCAACGGGCCCCUCAACUCACGGACCUCGCCGGAUCCGAAGGAGCGAAGGUCUCAGCCUCCUCAAACUGUGCCGCAUUGUCCGCUCCCGCAGAUUGAGAGCGCGUAAUCGGCAUAGUCACUACAAAACAUAAAAGCGUAAGUUAGUAACCCGCGCUAUCGGAUCCCCGCUCAAACAACAAUACCCAAAUUAUGCGAAAGUAAGGAAGUGUUGUCCGCAACUAACUCCCGAUGUUACGUUGUCGGCCGCCAACAUAGCCCUCCGCGAAGUUAGAAGCCAUACACUCCGAUUAAAUUCUAACUUUUUAGAGUUAUCAUAAAACCCAAUCAUAAUACUUCCGCUCACAAGUCGAAUAGACCCCGUCUCUCACGAGCCUAUAUCCUAUAGUCCAACCGGCCUAAGGUUUACUAGGUCCUCUAAGACUCAACCCUAGGCUCUAAUACUGUAAUAUACAGAGAAUUCGGAAAAUAAAUAUCGAACUUUAGUCAAAUUGACCAAAGUGCGAGGUUGGAACACUUCGGAAAGUCCGAAGGUGUUAAAAUGAUCAAAAGUGAGUUACGGGAGGUUUUCGAGACCUAAAAUUGUGAAAUCUGCUUUCUGCAGGUUUUCAACUCUCGGGGACCGAUCCCUGAAGGAGAGACCGGUCCCCGAACGGGUGAAAAAUGAGAAAUGGAAAAAAUGGCUAAGUCCUGAGAAACCAGCUCUCGGGAACCAGUCCCUGUCUGAGAGACCGGUCCCCGAGAGACCAGUCCCCCCCAAAGAGAGACCGGUUGCUCUGCGCGUGCGCCCUGCUGCUCGCGGGGAGAGCCUUCGGGAACCGGUCCCUGAAGGAGAGACCGGUCCCCGCCUGCGCGAACAGCCCAGUCCAGGCUGUGUGAAAGAGUAAAAGUUGAGGGGCUUGGCUGCAAUUUUGCAACCCAAUGGCUAUGUUAUGGGGGCUAAUGAGAUUUUCUCUCAUUUCCUCACCCUCUCACACUCUCUUCUCUCCCUCUCUCUCUCUAGAAGACAAAGGAGAAGAAGAAGACAAAGGAAAGGAAGGAAAAGAAGAAGAAGAAAGUGAAGAAGAAGCCAUUGGAGUGGAGCAACUCCAUUUUCUUUCCCUCUAGUGCAAGAAAGGAGCAAGCUUAGAGGUAAGCUUUGCCCCUUUUCAUGCUAACUCCCAAACUAGGGUUUGGAUAAACCUAAAAAUAGUUUUUAUGGAACCAUUUGAGUAUUUGAAGCUUUUCUUUUGCUUCUUUAGAGAUCAAGACCAUGAAAAUGGUGAAGCUUGAGGUGAGCUUCAUCACCUCUCAUGGUGAAACCUUAAGUAGGGUUUUGAUUUGCCUAAAGAUGGUUCUAAUGGACUUUUUAGAGUAUAAUGAAGCUACUUUUGCCUCCCAUUGAGAUCAAACCCUAGGUUUGAUGAUGCUAUGGAGCUAGGGCACCCAAAUUAGGGCUUUUGCUCAUAGGGAUUUCUAAGUGUAAUUGACCCUCUAGAAACUUAAUUGGGGGUAUUUCCAACGCGUUGGUGCGCUCGGAUUAACGUUACGAAAAUGCGAUGUAAAGAUAUGGACAAAAUGGCCUAAAAUGGCUUUGUUAUGCCGCAGGUAAAGAACGAAUGACCUAAAAAUCCCAAGUAAAUUAUUGGAGCACCUUUGAAAGCCUACGAGGUGGGUGGUGCUUCUCAAACUUAUUAAACUUCUCUCUAUGCCUAAUGUGUCAUUCAAUUGAGCAUGUGUAUAUAUAUUGUUGCAUGCAUUUUAGGGUAAAGUGAAGAUGAAAAUGUGAUGAUGCAUGAUUGUGAGUACAACUUGCAUAAUAUGAUGAAUGAGAACUAUGUGAANUCGAUUGGUGGAUUCCCAUCGAUCGAGGACCGGCGAAGAUCACCAUCAACAAGAAAUCGGUAAAUUGAGUCGAGUAUUUUUGUCAAAAUCACUUGUACUCAAGUUUUCUUAGUGGAUUUUCUUCGCGUGAUCGGUCCCGUGGGUUUUUCACUCCGAAUUGGAGUUUUCCCACGUUAAAUUCUCGAUGUGCUGUUUUAUUUUCCGCUACUUUAUUUUAUUUGCAUCGAGAUUUUCGAGUUUGCCGUUUUUACACCUAUUCACCCCCCUCUAGGUGUUACUUACCUUUUAGAUCCUCGGAAUCCAUAUCUUACAAUGUGAACGUCAAAAACCCUAUGUGUAUGCAUGAGAGAAAAGUGAGCACCCAAAGUGAGCAAAAGAACAGAGUGACACAAUGACAUAGAUCGAGUGGCAUUCGAUAAAGUUAAAGUGAAAUGACACUAGAGAUAGUGUGAGGUAAAGAACCAAUGUAAUGUAAAGAAUGACGAAAAUGACAAUGUUUAAAGUUAAAGUAAUGUGGGGAGUAAAGAACAUGAAGUGCUAGAUGUAGCCAAAAGUAAAGAAUGCAAAGAAUAUGAUUGCCAGAGUUAGCAAGAGUAAAGAAAUGAAAAGAAUAAGAAAUGCUAGAGUUAGCAAAAGUAAAGAAUUGUAAAGAAUGUGUUUACAUGAGUUUACAACAAAAAGUGAUGUAAAGAACACUAGAGUUAGUGUAAAGUCAAGAUUGAACAUACAAUCCUUUGAGUUAAGGAUUCGAUCAUACUUGCUAUGAGUUCCGUGCUCGAUGGCGGUCGCUCCCCCUCGGGCGAUGCGCUCCGGAGUUAUGCAUCACGGGUUGGAGUAAACCCAAAGGACGGUCCUAGCAGGUGAGUUCCUGUGAUGAUGGACUUAAUGUGAAGCAAGUCAAUGUGGCGAUACCCCUGGGUUAGCCUUGAGAUUAAAGAGCAAAGAGCAAAGAACAAAGUGCAAAGAACAAAGAACAAAGAACAAAGAACAAAGAGUAAAGUGAAAAGAACAAAGAAUUUGCAUAAUCUGCAUUUAUUUAAUGUUGAGCAUAUUUCUGCUUAUUGUUCAGGCAUAUUAGCAUCAUGUAUAGUUUGGUUACUGUUUACAGCCUAUUCUUUCUAUUAUGUCUGAGUUAGUCCUAGUGGGAAAGUUGGUGAGAUUGAGGCCGAACCCACUGAGAACUUUGUUGUAGUUCUCACCCCACUAUUCCACAGAGCCGGGACCCAGCGAGCCGGCGAGCGACCGCGGUAAAGGUAUCGCACCUUAGUUAGAGGCCACCAGAGUUGGUUUACAUUUUGCUAGUAGAGUUUCCCUAUGUUCAUCUUUUGUACUUGAUGAGAAAUAAUGUAAAGAAAGAAUGUAAAGCACCCUUUUGAGGUAAAUGUGAUGUAAGAAAGAAAUGAUGAAAUGAUGCAAUGAAAUGUAAGGAAUUGUAAAUGUACAAGUUGGAUGCAAUGUAUAUGAUCUAAAUUGAAUCAUAGUACAAAAUGAAUGCUAGUUUCCUAUCUUUCACUCGUGGCUAUUGCUUACCCUCGUGUAAGUCAUUUGUGUAUGUUUCCGCUAGUGCUUUUCUCUAUACAUGAAAAUGUACAUGUGAUGAGCCUUGGGCGGAUAGGGGAAACUCUGUUCGUUCGGCGUCUGUUUGACGUGCUCGGGUCGGGCCAAAUUGGUAUCGGUCUUGGGGCGUGACAGAUAUCGUGGUAUCAGAGCCAAGAGUAAAAAAAAAGGAAUGGAUCUAGAGACCCUUAGGAUUGGAAGGCCUUAAGGAUCUAGGGAACGUGAGUGACGUGGGAUCAAAAUUAGCGAAAGCAUAUGAUUGGGUUAACUUGGGACAUCUCUAAUGUGAUUAGAGGCUAAGUUUAAAUUUCGUUUAUCCUCCACCUCUAGUGUUGUGUCGGGCGGCCGACGACAUGACGCUUGAGGCAAGGAUGAAUGUGCAUGUUGCUUUCGCCGAAUUGGGUAUGGUCAAGUAAUGUUGGUCAAGUGACUAAUUUGAGUUGCUUCUUUUCAGGAAGCAAUGGCACCUCGACGUCGAUCGCAAACAAGGUCGAUGUCAGAGGAGCUGAGUGCGGAGCCCGAGCGAUCCGGAGCGAGUGGCGACGGAGAGCUUAGGGAGCAAAUGGCCGCGCUUAUUGGCGUAGUGUGGCAACAAGCGGAGUCUGUCCAACGCCAAGGGAAGCAGAUUCAACGGCUCGAGGAGGCCUUGGAGCGUCAGCAGGCGGCGGCCCAAGUGGGCGUGGAGCCACCUGUGCCCCCUGCGGAGGUGCCGAGGGCAGUCGAGGGAGCGGCAGCAGUAGCGGCUGCGCCAGUCACGCUAGUACCGGCCGGAUCGGGAACCUCAAACCCCGAUAGUGCGACGGUAGAGGCGGAGCGAGAGCGCACGUUGGCGGCUCUCAUUCAGUUCAAGAAGUUCGACCCACCUAUCUUCGAGGGUGGAUUGGUGGAGCCAGCGGUCGUUGAGUCGUGGAUCGACUCAAUGGAGACGCUCUUCGAGGACCUAAAUAUCUCGGAGAAAGACAAAGUGUACCUCGCUACCCAUUGUCUAGGGAAGGCGGCGAUGGUGUGGUGGAAGCGAGUAAGGCGGGAUCGACCUACCGAUCUUCCGCUUAUGCUAUAGGAGGAGUUCAAGAGAGCGGUAUUCGCGAACUACUUCCCCGACACGGUAAAGCGAAAGCUACAAGAAAAGUUCCGCAAGUUGAGACAGGGCAAUCGGUCGGUGGGAGAAUACGAGCAAGAGUUCUCCCACAUCAUAGACUGUGUUCCCGAUGUUGUUCGUGAUGAUCGGGAUCGGGCUGAUUGGUUCUUGNNNNNNNNNNNNNNNNNNNNNNNNNNNNNNNNNNNNNNNNNNNNNNNNNNNNNNNNNNNNGGCCAUAUAAGCCUUCCUUGGUAACAAAAUCCUGUGAGGACCGCCUCAAAAAUCCAAUAUGCAUCAGCGCCGUCUGCAGUUUUCGCCACGAGGGACGCGUCUCCUCCUAGCCAGGGACCGUCCUCGCUAGCGAACCCAUGACAACAACGUUUCGGGAACCGGUCCUCACUGCGCGGGACGUCCUCUCUCCUACUACGAAGCGCGUCGCUCCCCGGACCGGUCUUCGCCCGCAGGGACCGAGUUGCUCAAGGCUUGCCACAGUUAAUCUGCUCACUGGGAUCCGUUCUUCCUUCCAGGUGACCGUCCCGAGAGUAUAAACUCUCAGGAUUGUCCAGAAUCCAGUUUCAGAACUUUUUUAGUCUAAAAAAUUCUACAACCCUCCACCAAGUGUGGAAAAGCUCGGAAAUAUCAUCCAAACACCGUCCGAACUCCUCGCAAAUGCAAAGGCCAUGUGCUACACAUUCAGUGUCACAACGAGUUGUUUGCAAUUCCAGUGCAAUAGGCCGAUUGAUUAUGCCGAUUGAAUCUGGCUAUCGCUAAUUCAGAUUGGGAUUCGAUUUUAUCGUUUGGGACCGAACUGGCUCUCCAAGUAACUAUGCGGUAUAGAUUGUGAAAGCAAAUGUGAUCAUUUUCGUAGACCUAAUCAAAAAGUUAGUCUACAAGCGUGCAAAAGUAAUCCGCUUCGCGUCGACCAUAUCGUCUGUAAGGGGCGAAGAGAAUGAUCAAAGAGGGCUGUACAGGCCUAUGGCAACCAUGGUGGAUCUCGAAAGAUUACCCCAGAGUUGGGCGGAUAUCGAGUAGUUGUGAGUACCCGGAUGUAUUUCCCGGCGAGUUACGGACUGCCACGAUCGGGAAUGUUUAGUUUUGUCAUUGACUUAUUCCCGGGCGGAACCAGUUUCGAAGGCUCCGUAUAGAAUGGCACCGGUGGAGCUAAAGGAGUUGAAAGGCCAACUACAGGACUUGCUCGAUAAAGGCUUCGUGAGGCCGAGCGUGUCACCAUGGGGAGCUCCGGUGCUAUUUGUGAAGAAAAAGGAUGGUACACUUCGACUAUGCGUAGAUUAUCGCGAGUUGAACAAAGUGACGAUAAAGAACAAGUACCCGUUGCCAAGGAUUGACGAUUUAUUCGAUCAGUUGCAAGGGUUCAAGGUGUAUUCGAAGAUUGAUCUCCAAUCGGGUAUCAUCAAUUAAAGAUCAGGCCGAAGGAUGUGCACAAAACGGCGUACCGUACGCGGUAUGGCCAUUAUAAGUUCACGGUAAUGCCGUUUGGGCUUACUAACGCCCCGGCAGUAUUUAUGGACUUGAUGAAUCGAGUAUUCAGGCCAUUGUUGGAUCGACGCGUCGUGGUAUUUAUAGACGACGUAUUGGUUUACUCGAAAAGUGAAGAGGAGCAUGAAGAGCAUCUGAGAGCGGUGAUGCAAAUACUCAGACAGGAGAAGCUCUAUGCAAAGUUGAAGAAGUGUGACUUUUGGCUAAAGGAGGUCACAUUCUUGGGCCAUGUGGUAUCGGGCGACGGAGUGUCAGUAGACCCGAAGAAAGUAGAGGCAAUAAAGGAUUGGCCUCGCCCGACGAAUGUAGUGGAGGUCCGCAGUUUUCUUGGACUUGCGGGCUACUACCGGCGGUUCGUGGAGGGGUUCGCCAAAAUAACCACUCCACUGACACGCCUCACGCAUAAAGGAGUAAGAUAUGUGUGGAGCGACGAUUGCGAUCGAAGCUUCGAGGAGUUAAAGAAUAGAUUGACGUCGACCCCGGUGCUUGCCUUGCCGACUCCAGGGGAGACUUUUGUAGUGUAUAGUGAUGCCUCUUAUGUUGGUCUCGGGUGUGUACUAAUGCAAAAUGGGCGAGUCAUUGCAUAUGCAUCGCGCCAAUUAAAGAGUUAUGAAAAGAACUACCCGAUUCAUGACCUCGAGUUAGCCGCAGUGAUCUUCGCGCUAAAGCUUUGGAGGCAUUACUUAUAUGGUGAACAUUGUGAAGUGUACACAGAUCACAAGAGUCUCAAGUACUUGUUCACCCAGAAGGAGUUGAAUAUGCGUCAGCGGCGGUGGUUGGAAUUAUUGAAGGACUACGAUGUCACUAUACUAUACCACCCCGGGAAAGCCAAUGUUGUGGCCGAUGCUCUAAGUAGAAAAUCGCCGGAGAACUUAGCGACGGCGAUUACGCCUCAACCGCUGUUACAAAAGGAAAUGCAAAGAUUUGGGUUGGAAGUGGUAGCACCGGGAGUGCCGGCUACACUUGCCGCAUUAGUUAUGCAACCGACCCUAUUGGAAAGAAUCAAGGAUCUCCAAGCUUCGGAUCCUUAUCUUCAAAAGGUGCGGAGUGAAGUUGAGAACGGCAAUGCCGAAGAUUUUGGCAUUGGAGCUAACGGCGCACUUCGAUUUCGAAAUCGUUGGUGCGUGCCCAAGGAUGAUGAGUUACGAAGGGCGAUUAUGCAAGAAGCGCACCAAUCCCCUUAUAGCAUACACCCCGGCGGCACUAAAAUGUACAAAGACUUGAAAGACCAUUAUUGGUGGCCGGAUAUGAAAAGAGAUAUUAGGGAGUUCGUGGCGCAAUGUUUAACGUGCCAACAAGUUAAAGCAUAGCGCCGAUUUCCGACGGGAAAGCUACAAAGUCUACCAAUAUCCGUGUGGAAAUGGGAAGACAUAGCAAUAGACUUUGUUACCGGUUUGCCUCGAUCACAAGGCAGACACGAUGCGAUAUGGGUGAUAGUGGAUCGAUUGACAAAGUCGGCACACUUCUUGCCGAUACAUACUACGUGGUCGGGAGACAAGUUAGCUCAAGUCUACCUCGACGAGGUUGUGAGACUUCAUGGGGUUCCAGUGUCGAUCGUAUCGGAUCGCGACCCGAGGUUUACGUCUCAUUUCUGGAAGAGCUUGCAAGACGCGCUAGGCACGCAGCUCGAUUUUAGCAUAGCAUUUCAUCCUCAGAGUGAUGGACAGUCAGUGUAACAUUCCAGAUUUUGGUAUAAAAAUAAAAAUAAAUAAAAAUAGUAUGAGAAACUAUUUUUAUUGGAUUUGUAGAAGUAAAAUAUAAGUCAGAAGUGACUUGUGCUGAAAUCGAAAUGAAAACAGAAGAUUUAGAAUUUUCUGUUGAAAACGGGACAGAUAAAUUAGCAGAAAAUGCACAGUCUCAGAAAAUUAUGAAAAUUGGAGGAUAAGUCAGAAAUAUUUUUAUGAAGCUAGAUUUAAAGUUUCAUAUUUUUCUGACACCCGUAGAGUGAGAAAUAAAAUUCGAGAGUUAUCUGAUAAAGAUUAUAGUUCGGCACAGUUUUCGGUGACCAAAUGGGGUCGAAACUGAAAACUUAAAAUAUAUUCUUACUCAGUACGUUAAACUGAGCCUGCCUGUNNNNNNNNNNNNNNNNNNNNNNNNNNNNNNNNNNNNNNNNNNNNNNNNNNNNNNNNNNNNNNNNNNNNNNNNNNNNNNNNNNNNNNNNNNNNNNNNNNNNNNNNNNNNNNNNNNNNNNNNNNNNNNNNNNNNNNNNNNNNNNNNNNNNNNNNNNNNNNNNNNNNNNNNNNNNNNNNNNNNNNNNNNNNNNNNNNNNNNNNNNNNNNNNNNNNNNNNNNNNNNNNNNNNNNNNNNNNNNNNNNNNNNNNNNNNNNNNNNNNNNNNNNNNNNNNNNNNNNNNNNNNNNNNNNNNNNNNNNNNNNNNNNNNNNNNNNNNNNNNNNNNNNNNNNNNNNNNNNNNNNNNNNNNNNNNNNNNNNNNNNNNNNNNNNNNNNNNNNNNNNNNNNNNNNNNNNNNNNNNNNNNNNNNNNNNNNNNNNNNNNNNNNNNNNNNNNNNNNNNNNNNNNNNNNNNNNNNNNNNNNNNNNNNNNNNNNNNNNNNNNNNNNNNNNNNNNNNNNNNNNNNNNNNNNNNNNNNNNNNNNNNNNNNNNNNNNNNNNNNNNNNNNNNNNNNNNNNNNNNNNNNNNNNNNNNNNNNNNNNNNNNNNNNNNNNNNNNNNNNNNNNNNNNNNNNNNNNNNNNNNNNNNNNNNNNNNNNNNNNNNNNNNNNNNNNNNNNNNNNNNNNNNNNNNNNNNNNNNNNNNNNNNNNNNNNNNNNNNNNNNNNNNNNNNNNNNNNNNNNNNNNNNNNNNNNNNNNNNNNNNNNNNNNNNNNNNNNNNNNNNNNNNNNNNNNNNNNNNNNNNNNNNNNNNNNNNNNNNNNNNNNNNNNNNNNNNNNNNNNNNNNNNNNNNNNNNNNNNNNNNNNNNNNNNNNNNNNNNNNNNNNNNNNNNNNNNNNNNNNNNNNNNNNNNNNNNNNNNNNNNNNNNNNNNNNNNNNNNNNNNNNNNNNNNNNNNNNNNNNNNNNNNNNNNNNNNNNNNNNNNNNNNNNNNNNNNNNNNNNNNNNNNNNNNNNNNNNNNNNNNNNNNNNNNNNNNNNNNNNNNNNNNNNNNNNNNNNNNNNNNNNNNNNNNNNNNNNNNNNNNNNNNNNNNNNNNNNNNNNNNNNNNNNNNNNNNNNNNNNNNNNNNNNNNNNNNNNNNNNNNNNNNNNNNNNNNNNNNNNNNNNNNNNNNNNNNNNNNNNNNNNNNNNNNNNNNNNNNNNNNNNNNNNNNNNNNNNNNNNNNNNNNNNNNNNNNNNNNNNNNNNNNNNNNNNNNNNNNNNNNNNNNNNNNNNNNNNNNNNNNNNNNNNNNNNNNNNNNNNNNNNNNNNNNNNNNNNNNNNNNNNNNNNNNNNNNNNNNNNNNNNNNNNNNNNNNNNNNNNNNNNNNNNNNNNNNNNNNNNNNNNNNNNNNNNNNNNNNNNNNNNNNNNNNNNNNNNNNNNNNNNNNNNNNNNNNNNNNNNNNNNNNNNNNNNNNNNNNNNNNNNNNNNNNNNNNNNNNNNNNNNNNNNNNNNNNNNNNNNNNNNNNNNNNNNNNNNNNNNNNNNNNNNNNNNNNNNNNNNNNNNNNNNNNNNNNNNNNNNNNNNNNNNNNNNNNNNNNNNNNNNNNNNNNNNNNNNNNNNNNNNNNNNNNNNNNNNNNNNNNNNNNNNNNNNNNNNNNNNNNNNNNNNNNNNNNNNNNNNNNNNNNNNNNNNNNNNNNNNNNNNNNNNNNNNNNNNNNNNNNNNNNNNNNNNNNNNNNNNNNNNNNNNNNNNNNNNNNNNNNNNNNNNNNNNNNNNNNNNNNNNNNNNNNNNNNNNNNNNNNNNNNNNNNNNNNNNNNNNNNNNNNNNNNNNNNNNNNNNNNNNNNNNNNNNNNNNAAAUUAGCAGAAAAUGCACAGUCUCAGAAAAUUAUGAAAAUUGGAGGAUAAGUCAGAAAUAUUUUUAUGAAGCUAGAUUUAAAGUUUCAUAUUUUUCUGACACCCGUAGAGUGAGAAAUAAAAUUCGAGAGUUAUCUGAUAAAGAUUAUAGUUCGGCACAGUUUUCGGUGACCAAAUGGGGUCGAAACUGAAAACUUAAAAUAUAUUCUUACUCAGUACGUUAAACUGAGCCUGCCUGUUAAAUUUGAGCUCAAACGGACAUUCAGAAGGGCUCCAACUGUUUCGAACAGCAAAAACUGCCCGGGAUGAAUAGUGUUUUGGUGUUGACUUGAGAGGAAUGUUGACCUCUUCUUCUUCCUCCCUCAACCAGCCAACACACACACACACACGACACACACACCCGCAUGGAGAGGGAGAGAGAAGCUCUCCUUUCUCUCUCUAAAGAUCUUUCUCAUCUCUCUAUAUCUCUUGCUCAAAUUCGCGGCGUUGGCGGAGGAGAUGCUCGCGAACGCGUUGGGAGCGACGGAUCGAGCUUUCGUGCACCCGUUGGAGUAGUGUGUUUUCGUUGCGGCGUUCACAAUGUGGUAACGAAAUGCGUUGGCGAAGACGGUUCGGCAAUCCGUCGAGCCGUUAGAAAGUUAUUAAAGAAAUGGACGUUUAGGCUUCGGGUCCGCCGGGAGGGCCAAGGCGACGUCGUAAAAUCGUGGAAAUGGAUUUGAGGCAUCGUGGCACAUAACCGAAGACCUAUAAUUUUCGGGGCUGCGAAGCGAAGCACGGUUGAGGCGCAGUUACAGUAUCGGGCCGUGCCAGAUACGGGUGCCGUGGGCGGCCGAUUGCAAGUGUCGACAAGCAAUCGGAAUGCGAAAUGAGGUGGGUUGUGCUUACCGAAGCGACUAGGUCGCCCUUCAUGUC